RNAcentral lists this long non-coding RNA (75832 nucleotides) under Olea europaea (common olive). Its description in RNAcentral is "long non-coding RNA (OEUR_LNC012175)". The record is from RNAcentral. Lineage: Eukaryota; Viridiplantae; Streptophyta; Magnoliopsida; Lamiales; Oleaceae.
AUGUUAUACCGGUAGAGAGCGUAACAGGAUCCUUCAUAAUCUCUAGACUGAUGGGGCAGAGAAAGUAGGAUGGAAUUUCAAUUUCAUCCAUAGAAGAAGAAGUAAUUACAAAGAUUUGAUAAACCUAAGAUCUGAUCCAAGAAAAAGGUGAUUAUACAAUUUUAAGCAAGAAAAUUAAACUGUAGAGAAGUACAAAAAUUUUGUAAGCUAUAGAUGAAAAUCGAAGAAAGUGAAGUUCUUGUGGAGUUGAGUGGAUUGGUUUAAGGAGGAUAUGGUUUUAUAUGUUUCUAUAAAGAGAGGUAAAGAUUCAAAAUGUCAAAGUCAAAACACGGAAAAUUUUGUGUGUUCAGUUUGUGUGAAGGAAAGAGUAUUAUUGUUUUUUUUUUUUAUUACAACAAAUAAAAUUUGGACUUGGACUUUUCUAACAUGCAAUUUGCAAAUGACAACUUAACAAAUAAUUUUCUUAUUUAAAAUUAAAACACGUGAUUAAGUCAUGUUUAAUUACCAUGAAGGAGUAAAACAGAAGAAUCUGAGUUUGGAGAAGUUCAAUUUUGGUUUAAUUAGUUCACGAAAGUAACUUCGACCCGUUAUUAUUAUAAUUAUUUUUAAUUAGUUCACGAAAGUAACUUUGACGUAGAUUUAUUUGGAAUGAAUUGAUCUUGUAGUAUUUUUAUCUUAACUAAAAGAAAAAUUGCUAAUCUAUGAGGUGAGUUGUCGAAAAUAAAGUAUAGAGAAAUAAAUUUAUUUCCUCUUUAAAAGUUUCAAGAUAAGAUAAUUCAAUGUCGAGUAUUGUGUUUGCAAGUCUUUUUACAAACAUAAUUUUAACAAGAAAUCAUAUAUUUAAGGGAAAAAUGUAUUAUUUCUUGUCUUUCAAAAAUAUGUAUGGUACUUCUAAUUUUAUGACUGAAACAUAUCUCAAAAUCUAUUUCCUUUUGAAAAUAUAAAAUAUAAGUAAAUAAAUCCAUUUCUCUCUUUAAUCAUCGAAAACUUUUAUACAAUGCGAAUUAUUACCAAAAAGAAAUAAAAAAUCCUCACAUUUUUGAAUUUUUCACUAUGUAGUUAUAUUCUGAGACUCCGAAUUAAAUAGAACAACACAAAUUCUUAGAUAUGGAUGGAUAAAGCAAACUGUCACACUAAAUUUAUUGUUAAUAAAUACGAUAACAAUAUUUCAUAAAAUAAUUUUUUCAACUCCAUUUUCGUACAAUAAUUCAAUACAAAACUAAAGUUGUUCUUAAUUUUUUUAGUUCGCACAUUCCAUCACCGACACCGACUGAUCAUAAAUGCAGGAUGGACCUACCAGGAGGUUUGCAACACAUGUAUGUGUAUUAAUCCAUAGCGGGCUGCCGAUAUUGACCAAAGCUGGUUGGCAGUGGCUCGGACUACACGGAGUUUUUAUUUAAUCUUGGCUCUAUUUGUUUCUCUUUGUUUAAGUCAACCCAAAAAAGUUAAAUUUUAUUGGAUUUUAAUUUCAUAAAAUAAUUUAUAGUCACAAAUAUUAUAUAUGUUUAUGGAACAAUAAAUUUCGAGACGAGUUUACUCCUACAAUGAUAGGAUGAACAAAGCUAUAGACGUAAAAGUCAAAGAUGAGGAAAAGAUUAUUGUCACAAUUAAUUAAUUAUUGAAAAUUCUGAGAAUAAGUAAUUACAGAAAUUUGAGAACGAAAGGUUGAGCUUUAAAGCAAAAUGGACCAAGUUUAAUAUUCGUUGACUAUUUUUAGUCAACCCCCCACAUUCCAAAUUGCGAGACUAUCAUCUUUUAUUGUUUAAAGAGAACUUUUUAAUUGCUUUAUGUGACCUUUGGGGCACUGACUUACCAUUUGAAUAGUUCUAAUUCCAAGGUUUGGAUUCAUACUGGGGGAAGCUCUUUUUGUUGUGAGAUAUUGUAAUACCCCAAACUUCACGUUAGAUAUUUGGCUAAUAUGAUUCAUGUAUUUCAUGCUAAUUACAUUGUUAUUUGCAUCAAUUUUCUAGUUGCUUUAUCUUAAAACGGUAUAUUCGAUGAUUAAGUCUUUAAAAUCUUUACAUGAUGAUAAUCUUCGACUCCUCGACCUAGGUGGUGAACUUUAUAUUGAGCUAUGAUAGAAAAUUAAGUUAACUAAAUGUUGGAGAUUGGCUUGGUAAGUAAUGAAAAAUCGAAAGGGUCGGAAAUUAGUAUCGACAAAGGUUCAAACUUUCCACUCGGCUGAUCGAGGUCACUUUAAACCAUAGAUAGGUAAUUGCCAUAUUUGGGACAUGAUGCAUGAAGUGACAUGAUCACGACGUAAUAAUAUAUGUCUCAUAUGACGUUAUAAAUUUUGAGGUGCGAAUUGUUGAAAUCGUUUGAUAAUCAUUGUAAAUCGGGUAAGAAAUUAAAUGAACAGUUGAGGAAUUAGCUCUAUAAUAUAUUUGGGAUCUUAGGACAAGUGAAAUGGAUUAUAAACAUGUCAAAAUAAGCCAAGGAUACUUGAUUUGUACCUGCAAAGAUAGAUAUAAAAUCUGAUUAUACUACAAGUGACCACCUCAUGCUUGAACACCUCGUGCUUACGAUGUUUAUCAUUUUAACACUCAAUUUCUUCAACCUUAAGAUAUCAAUCUCGUCUCUACUCCCUAAGAACUUAAUAUAGGAUGAAUAUAUAUCUUAAAGGUCACAAAUGGAUCCAAAUAUAAUGGUUGAAAGUCAAGUAUUUCUGCAAAGAUGACACAUCAUGCUUGGACAGCUCAUGUUUAAGGACACUUUUCCUUUGUUCACAUUUUUCUUCACCCUUAAGCAAUAUGCGCGACCUCAACCACUUAAAGAUCACUCAUUUACCUCACAGAUAAUAUAUUAACUCCCUUAGCUCGUGUCUAAGUGAUUCCAAGUGAAAAGAGGGUGAAAAAGUCAAAGAGAAAUAGAAACAAGAAGCUGGAAUUUCUGGACAACUUUGUUACUUCACGAUUUUGAGGUUUGUAUCCUUUGUUUCUUAAAGGAUUUAUAAUUUAUUGAACAUCUAAACUUGCUUGUGAUUAGCUUGCAGUGUUGUUAACGAUUUUAUGAUCCCAAAAUAGGGGUAAUUAAUUACAAGAAUUUAAAAGAAAGUAAUCUGGAUAGAGAUGAGGAUUUGCUAGAUUUGAAUGGUUUAAACUUUGAUUUUGGAUAAUACUUAAGAUAUAACUUGUAUCUAUGUAAAUGAAUGUUGUUGUAUGAGAGUUAGAAGAAUAGAAAUGGUCUUCUAAUAGCCUAGAAUCUGAUUGGUGACAUGCUAGUAAAAUGGAAACCGAAAAUAGUCAUAGGAAAACAAAGCUACCUGAUUUUUUGUAGUGGAAAAUGUACUGUUUUUGAAGCUCAAAACCCUUCAUUUGUUACAACCUUAUGAUCUAAUUAUCUUCAUAUAUAUGUUAUAGGUGGGUGGUAAGAAUUUGGGAGUCUUUGGAUAUAGUUAAGGAGGUGAAAAAGGAUUAGAAAAAUAAUUGGACGGUAAUGAAAAUCUGAAAACAGGUUCUGCCCAUUUGUGUUUUUAAUGUGAUUUCAACAUUUACACAUCCACUAAUUAUCUCUUGCCCUAGAAAAUAGAUUCUAAUGAGUACUAGGUUGUCGACAACAAUUGGAUGACAUUGACGUUCAUAACUGGACUUGAGAAAUAGUGAGACUUAUGGGAUUAGUUUGUAAUGCCAUCGGUAACUUGAAAUAAUGAUUUCAUCUAAAUUGUUUUGGCGUGAAUGGAUGCAUUUCGGGAUUGUGUGUGUUAAAGUUAUUAAAUGGAGGAUUGUCUUUAAUAUUAGAUGAUAAUACAGGUGAUUUUUCGACGUUGAGCGAAAAGGAAAUUGAUAUACACUCCGUAGGAGUUUGCACACACAAAGGCGGAAGGUAAGUAAAAAUUCAUUUCCAACUACGAUACAAGAACCUAGUAUUUGUAAUGUGGUAAUGUUAAAAUAUUUACAUAACUUUGAUAAGAAGCUUAUAGCACAUCAUAUGAUGAUUAUAAUCGUUGAGUAUGAGGUUGUGAAACUUAUUGACAUCGAUUUUUAUUAAAUAUAUCAUUCAUGAGCAUUUUCAUAUGCAUGCACGACAUGUGAUCAUGGUUGAAAUUCCUGCAUGUGAAAUAUGAUUUUAAAGUGAGUUUUCUUUAUAAAUGUUUUACUGACCACUAUUAGGGCACCGAUGCAUGUGAGACAUACUUAUGUAAUAUGUUUGACAUCGCGAGUGAUACUUCUUGAGUGAUUGCAAAGGUAGAUAGGGGAUGGACCUUUGGUGAUCAUGAGAGGGUGAACCACUCAAUUGUGCCCUUAUGAUAUUAUAAUUAUUAGUGCCGCCAGAUGGGAGACUUCUUGGGUGAUCAUAGGGAUAGUUAGGGAAUGGACCUCUAGUGAUCACGAGAGGAUGGUCUACUCGCAGGUGUCGAUUUCAUAUUGACCAUUUGAUUAUUGAUAUUGAUAUUAUGCAGAGCUCUAUCCGAUGUAUAGUAGGUGGGUCAAGGGCCCUAUGAAAUGAAAUAAUUUCGAGUCGACUUUGAUGAAUAUUUGAAUAUGAUGCUUCUUUAUCGUGAUGUUUAAAGUAAAUAGCAUAGUUGUAUAUAUCAUUAUUAUUCAUAUUCAUGACAUGCGUGAAUUUUACUUACUAAGCAUUGGCUUAUAUAGUUCUUGCAUUGUAGGUGAGUCUGGAACUAUAUAGAGAGCACGGCUAGUUGUGGAGCUCUUACGGGAUUUCAGAGUUCGAUGUACAUGGAUGAUGACCUGUAGGGUUAUUUUGUGGGCUGCUAUUUUGAGCUUAUGGCCUAUUGCGUUGUAUGUUGAGGAUCUUGUGUUGUAUAUUUUUUGACAUGGCAUGCAGACAUGUUUAUAACCUCAGAAUAUAUAUGUUUGAUUAUGACAAUAUGAUUUUAGUUUAGAGAUAUAGCUUAUGUUGUUUUGUCUGGUGAAAAAAUGUGUGAAAUUCUAUGUCUAGGUGACAUAGAUUAAAUUUGAAGCAUAUAACUACAGAAAAUGAUCAAAACUGAUAUUAGGAUAAUCUUUUAAAAUAUUGUAAUGGUUAAUGCAUUAGAUUAACUUAAUAUUCUAUCACAUAACAGUCAUCAUUUAAUUAUAAAUUAUGAGGGUAUGUAGUCAAUGUUUUAAUGAACUAACAUGCAGUAAUUUUAGCUAAAGAUUACUUGAAUUGUGAAAAGCAAAAUGUUUAUAUUUAAUAUCUUAUUUUAGUUUAUGAAUUAAUAAAAAAAAGAAAUUUACUGAUAAGUUUACAUUUAUUAAUAGUUAGAUUAGGUAUUAUUAUACAUCUAGUUCGCGUGGAGUCCACAUAUGAGAUAACUAGGAAUUAGACGCCAUGUUGGCUAUUGUCCUCUACAAUAUAUGUGGAGGCCUAUCUUAAUUCCUACUCGCAUGCUUGGUUGGUGUGAUUGUAUGAUUCUAAAUAUCCAUUCAAAAUCUUAGACGAUCAAAAGAAGAUCCAGAAGAAUAAUCAUCAAAUAGGUAAUUCUUUUUUAAAGAAACAAUAUCAUAAUUAUGAUAACCGCUCAACAAGUGACUAUACGACAUGUACUAUUGGCCUAAUUUAACCUAAAUUCAUCUAUAAAUACAUACGCUUGGUUCAAAGAAAAGAUACACAACAUUGGACUCUAGCCAAAGUUCUGUUCAUUUGUCUCUUUCACAUAAAUUUUAUUCUCUAAUAUUUUUUGACAAUAGACUUGAUCGUUUGAAUGUAAAUGUACAAGAUAUGAUUCAAAAAAGUGACGUUGAAUUUUAAAGUGCAAAGAAGGUAUAAGUUGGAAGCAACAACUACAAAUUGUCCUGAAAUAAAAGUUGAAUAGCGUUAACAUUUUUACUCAUAGAAGAUAGCGGAGUGCAUUUCUUAGUAAGCAUUUUUUUAUAAUUUUUUUUUUUUUAUAAAUAAUGUUAGUGGGAGAUCAUAAAUUUAUGGGGAAUACCAUGGUGAAUUUAUGAAUAUUAUUUCAAAAUAACUUUAAGGGGUACAAGGCACACCAGUUUACUACAUAAACCGAAUCAGGAUCCCAUUCUUCAUAUAUUUCAAUAUAAAUAGUGAGUUAACGUAUGUUGCACGUUAAUUGAUUAAUGUUUAAAAUAAACGUAUGUAAAUUUUAGAAAAAUUCUUUUAUAAAUUUGAAAGAUAUUCAUAAAUUCGUUGAAAUUGACUUAUUAUUCAUCAAUUUUCUCUGUAUAUUUUUUAUUUUUCAUAUCAACAUUUGAGAAUUUGCAUAUAUUUGUACCAGGCAUUUCCCUGUAGAAAAGUUUGUGGGAAAAUUUUUUCUGCGAAAUAUACUUCUCUAUAUAUAUAUUAGCUCAAACUAAAAUAUGAUUUAACACACUCAAACAUUGCCCCUAAUUCAUAUUAUGAGUAUAAUAAUUAAAUAUCACCAAGAUAUGCAACAUAACAAUAUCUACACUAUUGCAUUAAAAAUGAUUUUUCAUGUUGACAGGAAUUAUGUAGAAUCAUAAAUUAUGGCUUAAAAUGUUAAAUGCAAUUUCAGGUAUCAACCUUCUUCCAAAGACAUGAUUUUGUAAUAUUGCAAAAAUGUAAUUAGAACAUUAGAAAAUAAUGUAGACAUGGACAUAACUAUAAAGGGAGAAAACUUCUUCAAACUUUUCAAAGUUCAAUUAAAAAGAAUUUUAAAUCGAACAAAAAAUUAUUUAUAAUAUGAAGAAAAAAGAAAUUUAAAAUAUUUUUUUUCGAAAAAUAUAAUAAAAACAAAACAAACUAAGCAAAAGAAAAUUACAAAAAUUAAAUAAAGAAUAUAUAAAUAUUAUUUAAUUAAAAUUGAAAAAAUUAAGUUUUAUCAUGAAGAGAAAAUAAUUAAAAAAAUUUUAAAUCGAAUAAAAUUAUUUAUAACAUGAACAAAACAAAUUUAAAAUAAAAACAAAUGUGGAAAUAAGAAAGAAGAAAAAUAAAAUCUAGGAGAACCCAAACCUCCAUCCUGGAUGGAGGUCUAAACCUCUCCAUCCAGAUGAUGGAAGUUUUUUCCUAUCCUUAAAAAAUAAAAAAAUAAAAAAAAAUUCUUAAACUUGAUGAAGCAAGCAAAAAUAGAAAAAAAAAAGACUAUUAUAAAGUUUUUUAAUUAAAUUGAAAAAAUUAAAAAUUAAAAAUUAAAAUGAAUAUUAUUUUUUAAUUAAAAUUGAAAGAAUUACAUCUUAUAAUAAAACGAAAAUAAUUAAAAGAAUUUUAAAUUGAAAGAAAUAUUUAUAGUAUGAAGAAAAAAGAAAUUUUAAAACAAUUUCCAAAAAAUAUAUAAUAAAAACAAAAUAAAUUAAACAAAAGAAAGUUACGAAAAUUAAAUAGACAAUAUAUAAAAAUUAUUGAACUAAAAUUGAAAAAUUGAUUUUUAUCUUGGAGAGAAAAGAAUUAAAAAGAAUUUUAAAUCAAAAAAAUUAUUUAUAACUUGAACAAAAUAAAUUAAAAAAGAAAAACGAAAAAUAAAAUUCAGGAGAACCCCAAACCUCCAUUCAUGAUGGAGGUUUUUCUCAAAACCUCCAUCUUGGAUGGAGGUCUAAAUAGGAACAGAUGGACUAAUCCAAAUGCUAUCUUCUCCAAGACAUAAACAUUAUAUACUGUUUGUGAUAUUGAAAAAUUUAGACAUAUAUGGACACGAAAUUUUGAAGCAUCAAAUCAAAAAUAAAAUAAACUAUUUGAUUGAAAAGAAGUCUCCAAACUUCAAAACAUUAAUUAUAUGAUAAAAAACCUAAAUAAACAAAAGCUAGCAUCACGGAGCUCCUGCUCCUGCUGGAUGGAGCUUUGGUCAACUGCACUUAUUUUGAGUCACAUUCAUCAUUUUAAAAUCUAGACUUCUCUGCUAAUUCAAAUCAAACUAAAGUAUUAAAUUCUCCAAAAUUCUAUCAAUUCACAUAAAAAAAAAAGAAAAAGAAAAAGGAAAAGGAAAACCACAAAACGAAAAGAUAAAUAAAAAGAAACUUACAUUAAUCAGUAGUCUGCAACUCGAUUUCGAUUUGAUUUCAAGGAAGAAGAAGAAGGAAACUCAUGUAUAAAAAAGCUUGCAAUGUUAGUUUCAAUUAAAAAGAAAAAUGUAGUAGAUUAUACUUAAAAGAAACAAAAUAAAUUAAACAAAAGAAAGUUACGAAAAUUAAAUAGACAAUAUAUAAAAAUUAUUGAACUAAAAUUGAAAAAUUGAUUUUUAUCUUGGAGAGAAAAGAAUUAAAAAGAAUUUUAAAUCAAAAAAAUUAUUUAUAACUUGAACAAAAUAAAUUAAAAAAGAAAAACGAAAAAUAAAAUUCAGGAGAACCCCAAACCUCCAUUCAUGAUGGAGGUUUUUCUCAAAACCUCCAUCUUGGAUGGAGGUCUAAAUAGGAACAGAUGGACUAAUCCAAAUGCUAUCUUUUCCAAGACAUAAACAUUAUAUACUGUUUGUGAUAUUGAACAAUUUAGACAUUUAUGGACAUGAAAUUUUGAAGCAUCAAAUCAAAAAUAAAAUAAACUAUUUGAUUGAAAAGAAGUCUCCAAACUUCAAAACAUUAAUUAUAUGAUAAAAAACCUAAAUAAACAAAAGCUAGCAUCACGGAGCUCCUGCUCCUGCUGGAUGGAGCUUUGGUCAACUGCACUUAUUUUGAGUCACAUUCAUCAUUUUAAAAUCUAGACUUCUCUGCUAAUUCAAAUCAAACAAAAGUAUUAAAUUCUCCAAAAUUCCAUCAAUUCACAAAAAAAAAAAAAAAAACGGAAAACCACAAAACGAAAAGAUAAAUAAAAAGAAACUUACAUUAAUCAGUAGUCUGCAACUCGAUUUCGAUUUGAUUUCAAGGAAGAAGAAGAAGGAAACUCAUGUAUAAAAAAGCUUGCAAUGCUAGUUUCAAUUAAAAAGAAAAUGUAUUAGAUGUAUACAAUCUAUUUUAUUUUAGAUUAUACUUAAAAGAAUAGAACAAAAAUACCUAGAGUGCAAGUCGAUAUCCGAGCAAUUGAUGAACCCGCAAUAAUAGCAUGUGCAAUUGAGAAAUUAUAAUUUAGAAUUUUUUGAUUUCUGAAAAAAAAAAAAAAAAAGGAAAGAAGGUGAAGAAGAGCAGAGCAAUGGUCGAUUUUGUGAUAAAAUGGAGAAAUUAUACAUCUAGUUCGUCCAAUACAAUAAAAAAAUAAAUAAAAGUACAGACGAAAAUAAUUCAAAGAAUUUUAAAUUGAAGAAAAAAAAUAUUUAUAAUAUGAAGAAAAUUUUUUUAAAACAAUUUUAGUAAACUUAUAAUAAAAACAAAACAAAUUAAACAAAAAAAAAUUAAAUAAAGAAUAUAUAAAUAUUAUUUAAUUAAAAUUAAAAAAAUAAGUUUUAUCAUGAAGAGAAAGAAAUAAAAUGAAUUUUAAAUCGAGAAAAAUUAUUUAUAAUAUGAACAAAAUAAAUUAAAAAAGAAAAAAUAAAAGAGAAAAAAAAUAAAAACGAAAAAUAAAAUCCAAUAGAACCCUAAACCUCUAUCCAUGAUAAAGAUUUUUUUUCAAAACCUCCAUCUUGGAUGGAAGUCUAAAUUGGAACGGAUGAACUAAUCCAAAUGCCAUCUUCUCCAAGACAUAAAUUUUAUAUACUGUUUGUGCUAUUUAAUAAUUUAGACAUAUAUGGACAUGAAAAUUUGAAACAUCAAAUCAAAAUCAAAUAAACUCUUUGAUUGAGAAGAAAUCUCCAAACUUGAAAAUAUUGAUUAUCUUACAAAAAACCUAAAUAAACAAAAGCUAGCUGCACGGAGCUUCUACUCCUGCUGGAUGGAGCUUUGCUCAACUGUACUUAUUUUGAGUCAAAUUCAUCAUUUUAAAAUCUAUACUUUUCUGCCAAUUCAAAUCAACCUAAAGUAUUAAAUUCUCCAAAAUUCCACCAAUUCACAAAAAAAGAAAAUAAAAAAUAGAAAAAGAAAAUCACAAAACGAAUUUUUAAAUAAAAAGAAACUUACAUAAAUCAGCAGUCUGCAACUCGAUUUCAAUUUGAUUUUAAGGAAGAAGAAGAAGGAACCUCAUGUAUACAAAAGCUUGCAAUGCUAGUUUUAAUUAAAAAGAAAAAUGUAUUAUAUGUAUACAAUCUAUUUUAUUUUAGAUUAUACUUCAAAGAAUAGAACAAAAAUAUCUAGAAUGCAAAUCGAUAUCCGAGGAACUGAUGGACCCGUAAUAAUAGCACGUGCAAUUGAGCAAAUUAUAAUUCAAAUUUUUUUGAUUUUUGUAAAGAAGAUGAAGAAGACCUGAGCAAUGGAGAGAAAUGGUCGAUUGAGUGAAAAAAAAUAGAGAAAUGGUAUGGCUACAUCUAGUUUGCCCAACACAAUAAAAAAUAAAUAAAAGUAUAGGACGAUAUAUAUUGGAGAUACGUGUCCAGCCAAUGCUUUCGCUCUUUUAUAUAUGUAGGAUGUUGACAAAAUAACGGUAGUUAGGUCAUCUCCAACGCAAGACAUGAAGUUGGUACGACUUUCAUACAAUUUUGUAAAGUUACUUUCAAUCCAUUAUACCAAAUACUGCAUCAAAUGAAUAAUUUAUUUCCUUAUCUUUUAAUUAUCAAAAAUUAAUUUAUUUCAAGAAUUAUUUACUUAUAAAUUAUAUUCUACUGAAAUACCAGAUUAAAAGUUAAAUUUAAUUAACGAAAAUAUUAAAUUUAUUAAUAAAUAUAAAAGGCUUUACACUUAAUACGACAAUUGAAAAAUUAUGACACUUAACACACAAAAUAAAUUUUUUACAUAUAAUAAAAAAUUACAUUAUAAAUUUUAUUAAAAGUAAUGAUCAAAUUAAAAUAAAUAAAAUCAUCAAGGAUAAAAUUUGUUAGUACAAAAUGAAGAGGAAAAUGGGAAUUAUGAAAAACUCUAAAAGUCAUACUAAAUGAAUAGUGUUGCAGCUAAUUUAGUGCAACAUUGUUAAUUGUACCAACCUGAUGUAAAGAUUUAAGAAUAUUGCUAUUUAUACAUAAUGAUAUUAUAUAAUGAUUUACAUAUAGAUGAAGUGCCAAAAAGAGAUUGUGGAAGAUUUUUUUUUAUUUAUUUAAUUGAAAAAUUCUAAAUCAAUUAUAUCAACUACAUUAAACCAUCAUGUAAAUCAUUAUGUAUAUAUAACACAACUGUAAAUUUAAUAUUCGGUUUGAGUGAUAUUUGCACCAAUGCAAAGUGAUUUGAGAUAUAACUGUAGUAUUCUAGACAAGACAAGUGACUGGGCUUUGCUGCACCAAGUCUUUGAAAUUAUAGUAUAGAACAGAACUUAAACCCUUCAAAAAGAAUGAAAUAUCAUGUCUCAAUUUAUUGUUUACAGUUUAGUUUUGAAAUUUAUUUCAUUGUAUGUUAUGUAAUUGUGAUCUCGUAGACAUAUUUUAAAGAAGAAUUUAUAAUUUUAAGGGGAUUCAAAGUUCAAUUAUUUAAUGAAAAAAUAUUUCUAGUCUACGUUUGGGCUCUAUUUUUUCAAAUUAUAAUUAAGGAAUAGUAACUUUUUUAAGAAUGUGUGGUUAAAAAAAGGUCAAUUUUUAAGGUUUACAAGUAAUAUUAUUUUAUUGGAGAAUGUGUGGUUGAUAAGAAAAGAGAGAAAAAUAAAUUUUAAUUUAAUGGGGACCAAACAGAGGCUAAAAGUGUUCGUUACGAUCAAAAGUCUCAAUUUAGUUAUACUAUGAUGUUACAAAUCAGCUAAUACUUAUUCUUGAUUAUUUUUAAAAAACCAGAAGAUUUCUAUUUUAAAUUCAUGAAGUGUGAACAUGUACAGAUUGAAUCAUAUUCACACACCUAUUUUUAAAAAUAAAUAAAUAAAUAAAUAAAGUGCUUUUAAUGGUAUUUACUUUAUAUAUUUAUUAUGACGCAAUUUUUUCAGCUUAAUUAAUCCAUAAGGAUAAAUAGUGUUAGCUGUGUACAUGACAGCAUUAAUUAAAUUUAUCAAAAUGUCAUGACUUUUUGAGGAGAAGACGUGUUCGAGAUGAGCAUUCAGGCUCCAUUAUUAUUUAAAAAAUAAAAGUAAAAGAGAAGUAUAAUAUUAAAAAAAGAAUUUAAAAAGAUAAAGAAAAAACACAAUAAUCUUUCCAAGGUGGCUGCCCUCACACCACCACCACCAUCAUAAUCCCUCAUCAACCAUUAAUAUUGAUCGAUGAAAUUCACCAAGUACACGAUAUCAUAGAUAAAUAAUAUAAUAAUAAAUAAAAUAUCGUCCCGCAAACCUAUGUACUUAAUCUAGUUUUGAUUGAUAUGUGUUCAAUUUGAUUAAUAAGAAUUCUAAUUGAAUAGCCAAGUUUUGACGAUGAAUUUCUAUAAAUAGUUAACUAACUAAUCUAAUUGAUGAGCAAUUAUUAAAGCUUUUGUUAAACCGAUUUAAAUAUGAACAAAGAUUUCGAAUCCCCAUUUAUUAAUUUAUUUUAUUACAAAGCCCAUGACAAUAGUUAUUUAUUCUUGUUGAUUAAUGUUCCUAUUUUGUUUAUAAUCUCUUUCGAAUAUAAUCAAAUAUAUUCUCAAAUGUGACCUUCAUAUAUCUAUACGAAAGAUGCAAACAUGAAAGAAUAAAUUAAAAAUAUUCAAACAACUAUUGAAAUCAUGCAAGACAUAGUAUUAUAUUUCUAUAUUUUAUGUGACCUCACAAGAAUUGUUACUAUUUUGCUAUCUUUCCUAUUAUUUAUCUUGGAUAUAAUAAAAAUCACUCAUCAAUCCAAUUAGCGAUCAAUUAAUUGAAAGCAUCAUAUAUAACAAUUUUUCAAGGUAAAGAAAUACUUAACAUCAAAAUCUUGAAAUUAAAAAAAAAAACUUCAUAAUAAACGAUUUAUCUAUAUCUUAGCAACUAAAACUUUAGCCUAGCAUUACAAUGUUACAAGAAAUCAUAAAGGAAUAAUCAAACAUAAUCCAAAUUCAAAAUAUUUGAAGAAAGAAAAGAGAAGUCACGAAAUCUUGAAUUUCUUCAAUCUUCCUUGAUAUGUUACCUCUUGACUUACCACAAAAGAAUGAUAUUUUUUACCUCUCUUGAUUGCAAGAAUUUGUAUAGUGUAUGGUAUGAGAGAUGUCUUUAGUUAUUGGAUGAAGAUUUAUAUUUAAAAGCCAAAAUUAGGUCAAAAUCCGUGUUGAAAUUGGUUGAAUCAUCCAAGGAAAGUGUCUCGCCUGGCCAGACUACAGCCAUGCGAUUGCAAUAUAUAAAUAUGUGCAAUCGCAUCGUUAAGCACCUUUAUCAAAUAGAGCGUUGGGAUCACAUCACCUUGUUUCAUGCAAUCAUGCCCCUAUAAGUUUAUCAAAUUCUCAAUUUGAUCCCGAAUUCUUUAUUCAAUCUGAAUCCUUUUUUCAUGUAUGUUUAGUCCUUCAUCUUUUAAUUUUAUUCAAUUUGAUCUCUAUAAUCUGCAGACAUCAUUCUUUGGUUCGAAUUAACUUUUAUACAUUAGUUAUUUCCCAAACUUUGGAAUUCUUCCUUUUUCAUCCUUCUGUUUCGCGCGGGUUAAGUCGCUAACAAUUAAAAAGGAUCAGACGAUUGUGUAAGGGACGAAACCUCUUCAGACAAAGUCCCAAAAAGGGGUGUUCUUUUAUUGGCGAUGAACUUUACAAUUGGAAAUGGAAAACAACGUGCCUCCAAGGGGCGCAAGCACACGAGUUACUGAAAGAAAAUUGUUUAAGUCUAAAAAACUAAGGAAAUGAAAAUUACAUGUUCUCUGUUCGAGAGUUUUGGAUUCGGUCCUUUGCCUCUAUGUUCUUUCUCCCUUUUAUACUUCAUAGACGAUCUCUUUGUGAUUAACUGCUCUAAAAACUGCUUGAUCGUCCUAUAACUACCCACUUUCUUCGUAGUGGCCAUUUUAUUAUGAAAACUGCCUUUUAACUGCUGCCAUUACCUUUCAUCGUUCAACUGCUUUCGAUUGAAUUCCUUGAGUCGUGGAACGUGAUAGGGCUGCUUUAGCAACUGCCUUGAUAACUGCAUUUUUUGAUAACCACGACGCGUUAUGUCUGUUGAUACCUUGGGUGACUUGAAGGUUUGGGCGAGAAUAGAAUAACAGCUCUGGACGACCGUAUGACACUCUAUUCGUUCAGAUUCUGGGCGACUCUGGCGUUACAGCAUUCUUGGGCCCCCUUAUUUGGGCCUUCACCUUGAUUUGUUCGAUUGGACUUCGUUCUUUGAGCUAUCUGAUUUGGGGGUCCUCCAAUUGGGCUUUAAUCUUUGGGCCGUUCGAUUUGGGCUAAAUUUUUAUGUGUCAACAAUUACCCCCCUGUAUGGCAGAAUUAAUAAUAAUUAUUGAAUUUUGCAUAUUUACUUUGUGUUUCCAGCAACGUUCGAAAUUCCCAAGAAUUUCAAUCAUUGUUUCCUUCUAUAACUUGAAAAGGUGCGUCGUUUUGCAAACCCUUAUAAACCCCAAACACGCCAUUUCACUGCUACCAAAUCACGCCUCAUAUUUUUUGCAUCUCUUUCACGAUUCACUGUUCAUCUUUUGCUUCCUUAUUACGUAACCCUGAAAAGCUUCGUUUCUCUUCCAAUGGCUGCUUCACAAUCUCAAGCUAGCGACUCCUUUAGUUUUGAUGACUUUCAGAAACUUUUGAGUCGCCCAUACAUAACCCCAAGUUUUCUCGCGCCCGCCGACGUUGGACGUAAUGAGUUUUACUUGGGUCCUUUCUUCAACAAUGCGGAGGCAGUUGAACAGGCGACGGUGGGUCAGCUGUUUCCUUGCACUCAUGGCCCUCCUUUUCUAAACUCUCUGCUGCUGGGCCCACUUCGCGAAAGAGGUAUUCGCACUUGGCCUAAAUCUGAUGUAACUUUUCGUAGGUGGCAUGCUCGUCUUGUGGGUCAUGGUCCUACCAAGGCACUUUUUGAUAGCACUAGGAUUUCUAACUUGUUAGAAGUCUCUAUUCGCCCCCCUGCUUUUGAUUCAGCGCUCUUUUCGAUUGCUUUGAGUUUUUGGUCCCCUGAGUAUAACACCUUUAUUUUUCCUCUUGGCCCCAUGUUUAUUACGUUAAGGGAUGUUGGGGCCCUUGUGAAUCUACCACCUUUGGGCGAUACCAUUUUCCCAGGUAUCUUAGUUUCUGGUGGCGCCCCAAAGUUUGGUAAAAACUAUACCGACUCUUAUUCAAGUCUGCAGACCCUCCACAAUCAUUCGAGUGCUGAGCCUACCUAUACUGAGCGAGUGGCCUUCCUUUUAGUUUGGCUUUGUAAAUAUGUUUUGUGCGUGCCAAGUAUAAAGCCUUCUCUGAGUUAUUUACCCAUAGCGCACGAAUUGGCGCGUGGCAGGUCUUUGAAUUUAUGUUCUUUGUUUUUGGCUACCCUUUAUAAAGGCAUGGCCUCUCUUCAAGCUCAAUUGAAGAAUGGUGCAUCUCCCACAGGCAGUGGAGCUCUUUGGUUUACUCAACUGUGGUUGAGAUCCUAUUUUCCAUCGUUUGGUGCUCCAUCCAUUUCUUGUCCUUCUGCUAGCUGUUACGGGCUAGCUAUGGAGCCCCUAACUCCUGUAAAUAUGUCCAGAAGGGACAUUUUUUCUUUCUUCUAUUCUUUAGAUUCAAUCUCUUCCUUUUUUCCUUUCCCUCCUUUCUUGACUCCAAACUAUGUACAUCCCCCUUCCACUAUAGAUAGCGCGAGCACCUCCCUGCUCAUUUGGAUCCAGUUUUUAACCGGGAGGGAGCUUUUCCAUGAUAUCUUAACUGGGACCAAUGCCAAAGCGGGGGUAGAAAUUUAUGCUCCCCAAUUUUUUGCUCGUCAGCUUGGUUUUGGCCAAACUUGGCCUGUUAUUCUUUACUAUUCGAAGAACUUAAUUGACCGUUUUCAUACCAUUAAUAAGGCGGAAGCAGAGGCUAUAAACGCUCGCAACCUCCAUUUAUCAAGCCACUUUUCAUUAGCCCCUUUUAAUUCUUGUCAUGCCACUCACCCUCUUUUUGAACAACUCUGGCCAUCGGUGAAGCGCAAAUUAUUUGCGACUGAGGCCAAUCGUGCCUUUCAUUCAUUAGACCAACCGAGUAUUUCUUCUCCUCCUCCUGUUUUGGUCACUCCUUUGUCUAUUCGGAGCCCCUCUCCUUCUCGUCACACUAAACAAUCUGUUCGUCCAUCUUCUUCUCUCCCUGCCAGGCCUACUACGGCCAAGAGUGCUCCAAGCCGCAAACGGCCGGCCUCAGCAUCUCUCAUUCUGGAGGAUGAUGUUGAUGAUGAUGAUGAUGAUGAUGAUGAUGAUGCCCCUCUUAUCGUCAGGAGGAAGGUAAUUAAAUUGGUCUAUUUACGAGUAUGCUUUUCCACAUUUGAAACUUUUCUGUGUAUUGAUGAUCUUUUGGACUUUUCAGAAAAGCUCAGCCUCUCCUUCAAAGGCUUUGGCAUCGACAACUCCUGCUCCAUAAUCCUCUGCUGAGGCUACUUCAUCCAAACCGGUUGAUGAGGGGACCAUGCUUAAAGAUGCAUCUUCAAUCCCAGAGUCUUCAUCACAACCCAUGGAUGAGCCACCUUCUUCCUAGGGCGUCGACCCCCCAAACAUCGAAGCAGAAGGUAAUUCAGUUUUUUGAUGUCUUACCUUUGCUCGUGCUAUUGGUUUCUGAUUUGUUGCUCUUGAGCUUUGCAGAUACUCCUAUGAGUCCCCCCGUUGUGGCAACAUCUUCUUGCUCGGACAAGGGGAAGUCCUCACAAAUGGAUGAGCCGUUGGUGGCAAGCUUGGCUGAGGGCGGUGCCAUCUUCUACGAUUGUCGACGAGGUAGUUUUUCUUUUUGCUUCAUUUCUAUUUCCACCUUGUUCGUUGUAUUGAGGAUUUUUAAUAUUGGCAGUCUUCUUUGCAGGAUGCUGACAGGAUUGUACGUUCUAUCCAAGACUUGUUCGCUUCCUGGCGGCAAAUUCAGACGUUUCGCCCUGCUCCAUUCGAUCGUCCUGCUGCUUCUUCAGAGGAAGACUUGAAGUUCCUGAAGGAAUUGAUACUCGAGUACGUAUCCUUCAUGGAUAUGGAUAUUGGAAGGGCUAGUGCUGCCAGGCACAAGGAUGAACUUGAGCACUUAAGUGCGAAGUUGGAGCAAGCAUUGAUGCUUUCGUCGCUCAAUCUUUCUGCCGAUUUUAAAGCGACGUUGAAGGUUAUCCACUCUGAGGUCCUUUAUAUGCUGGCCAAGAAUACUGAACUAAAGGCCAAGCGUACUCAAUAUCUUCGAGCCGUAGCUGAGAAAGAGUCUUUGCGUAUGGAGAUUAACAAGGCUGAGGACGAGUUGAAAGAAAUCUCCUCUGAAGUCAUGAUUGAAGACUCUUUGAUGGUUAACUUGGCUGCUCAGAUGAGAGAACUUCAAGCUAAAAUGGACGACUGUAGGGCGAGGAUGGUUGCCAAAAAGUGCAACGCCUCCCAAGGAAUUGAGCGAACUAAGUCCUUGGUCGAGCAGUACAAGAAGUUGGAAGUUGAUGAUGAUGACGUCGCGACUGAAUUGAACAUCACUUCCUCUCGACAGAACGAGGAUUGGGAAAAACUUAGGGAACGAAUUCGUUCUUUAUGGGGUAGACUGUAAUUAAGACACACGAUGUCUUUUUUCUUUUGUAAUUCGAUUUUUUCCUUUGUAACUUUAUUCAUCAUUAAUGAACAUUAAUUUCUUGUGCAUUUAUUUGACGUUUAUUUUUUUAGUCAUCAAUUCUUUAAGUACUUAACUGCUUUGCACUAAAAAUCUUGUCCAUUCCCUUUUGAUAUUCCCACUACUGUUCCCAAAACUUAGGGCUAUUCAAUUCCGUUUAUUAGACAAAAAUGUGGCUGUUCAUAUUCUGUCUCUUCAUCUUCACCCCCCUAUAAAUGCUUUGCAUUUUUCAUCCUCUAUCUUCAUCUCUUCAUUUUCUUCUUCGAAAUCAAUUUGCUGCCAUUUCUUGGCAUUCUGACGAUCAACCUGAUUCAAAAAUAGAUUGUUUAAUCCGUCCGCCUUAUAUUUACUUUGAUGUCACCUUUGGUAUGGGAGGUAUAGGAAAUAUUUUCUGGCCAGCAGCGAAGUUCUUUCCUGCAAAAUUCUUCCCAUCGUCUCUUUGUUCUUCACAAGGAGGCAAUGAUGGGAGGCAAUUUUUGGGCUGCUUGUGGGCCACUUUGCUUGCUGAGAGUACUUCUCAGCUUGCCUGCUGAGAGUGUUUCUCAGCCUCUUUGCUCGCCAUCGCAGCGAUGCAUUUAGGAAGGUGGUGAGGCCAUUAGACCCUCUCACUCGGCAAUCCCACCAUUGCAGCGAUGUAUUUAGGAAGGCGGUGGGGUCAGUACACCCUCUUACUCGUCAAUCCCACCUUUGCAGCGAUGCAUUUAGGAAGGCGGUGUGAAGCUUACUCAGCGAUCAAUCGGGAGAUCAUCUUACUUUAGUUGUAUUUUGUAUCACGUCCAUUCAUUUGUAUCUUUUGUAUUCUUGUAAUGAACGUUUGAUAAUAAAGAACUUUAUUCGAACGUAUUCCGCUCUGUCUUUAUUAUCUUUUGAUCGUCCAGAAUGUUUGGUUAUGUUUUUAUCUGUUCACAUUCCCAUAAAGAAGGAACAUAUUUUUUCAAAUAUUUGCCGUUAAUGAAUCUUACGUGCUUGGUGCCAUCUAAAUCUUCCAAGUGUAACGCUCCAUUAGGCAACACACUGUUUAUUUUGUAUGGUCCUUCCCAAUUGAACGACCACUUUCCGUACUUUGGAUCCUUGGUAUCCAAAGGGAGUAUCGUCUUCCAAACUAGUUCGCCCAAGCUGAACGACUUGGCUAUGACUUUUUUAUUAUAAAACUUAGCCAUUCUUUGCUUUUGAACUUGCAACCUAUCUAAGACGUCCAACUUCAAUUCGUCUAAACUCAACAAAUUUUGAACUAGUGAUUCGACAUAUUCAUCAUCAUUCAACUUAUGUUGCAAGCACACUCGAAUAGAUUGCACGUUGAUUUCCAUAGGCAAAACGGCCUCCUGUCCAUAAACAAGUUGGAAAGGAGUAACUUUGGUACUUGACCGAGGUGAUGUUCUAUAAGCCCAUAAGGCCUUGUUCAAACAUUCGUACCAAUUUCUGGCGUUUUCAUCUAUCAUCUUUCUGAUGAUAUUUUUUAGAAUCUUAUCAGAAGAUUUCGCUUGUCUGUUGGAUUGAGCGUAGUACGGUGUGGAGUUUACUAAUUUAACCCCAAACUCGCUCAAAAAUUUGUUCACUUGAUCCCCAUUCAAAGAUGUUCCGUGAUCUACCAUUAAAGUUUGUGGAAUUCCAAACCUAUAAAUAAUGUGAUCACGGAUAAAUUCUAUAACAUUCUUCUAGAUGAUCUUUUUCAAAGGUACCGCCUCUACCCAUUUGGUGAAAUAGUCGGUUGCAACUAUAACAAAAGUAUGUUGCUUGGACGAUGGAGGGUAGAUCUUUCCUAUCAGAUCUAUCACCCAACCUUUGAACGGCCAAUGUUUAAUAAUAGGUGCCAUUUCUCGUGCUGGCGCCCUUUGUAUUGGACCAUGUUUUUGGCAUGCUAAACAACUUUUUGCAUACUGAACGCAUAGUUCUCCCAUCUUUGGCCAAAAAUAUCCAUUCCUAAUAAUUAACCAUCUUAUCCUAUGGCCAGCUUGAUGAGCUCCACAUAUCCCUUCGUGCACUUCAGCCAUGAUCGUUUUGGCUUCUUGCAAACUUAUACACUUUAGUAAUACACCAUCAGAGCGUUUCUUAAACAACUCUUCAUCUAUUAGUGUGUAAUUCAGCAAACAUAGCUUUGUUUUCCUGCUAACUCCUCCAUUAGGUUCUUUAAGGAACCCUUUAAUCUCUGUUCUCCAAUCCACUGCGUCUCCAUCUUGUAUACAGUGAAGUUCAAUUUUUCUCGCCCUUCUUUGAAUCACGGGCAAUAUGAUUCCAUAAUCACAAGUAGACUUCCAAUUCAAAACCUUUGAGUACCCUGAUGCCAUUUGGGCUAACUCAUUUGCCAUGUCGUUAUAUAUCCUAUUAACGCAUUGGAGUUCUACUUGAUCGAAUUCUUCUAGUAAUUCUUGGGCGAUCUCGUAUUGACUUAUAAUGGAAUCACUUUGGUAUUUAAAAUCACCGAUCAAUUGAUGGAUCACCAAUUGAGAAUCGCCUCUAACGAUCACAUUUCUUAUUCCCAUAUCUAUCAUUAGUUCUAGGCCUACAAUUAAGGCUUCAUAUUCGGCCUGAUUGUUGGUGCACAUUUUGUCUAAGGUGAAUGCCAACUUGUAGCAAAUCCCUAAAGGAUUAAUCAACGCUACUCCUACUCCUACACCUUUAGAGGUCUUUGACCCAUCGAAAUACAACACCGAAGGUUUUAAUUCGAACGAAUUGAUUUCUAGUUCGAUUUCUUCAGGCAUGUCAAGGCAUGGAUGAUCGGCUAGAAAGUUAGCCAAAGCCUGAUUUUUGACUGCCUUUUGAGGUAUAUAUUGUAUUUUGAAUUCUGAUAAAGCUAGUGUCCAAAGGCCUACCCUUUGAUAUAAAAUAGGGCGCGAAAACAUAUACUUAACUAAAUUUACCUUAGAAAUUAAAUAAACGGUUACGGGCCGUAAGUAAGCCCUUAGCUUUGUACAUGUGAAAUACAACGCAAGACAUAAUUUUUCAACAGCAGAGUAAUUGCAUUCACAUUUAGUUAACCAUCUACUUAAAUAGUAAAUUGCCCUUUCUUCACCAACUUGGUCUUCCUGCGCGACCAUUCCAGCUAUUGAUUCUUUUUCAGCCGACACGUACACUUUCAUCGGCCGUCCUUGGAUUGGUGACACCAACACUGGUGGACUUGAUAGAUAUAUCUUCAGGCUUUCAAAAGCGUUUUGAUGUUUUUAUUUCCAGACGAAUUCAUCCUGAUUUUUCAGCUUUAAUAGCGGCGAAAAGAUUUUAGUUCGCCCUGCACAGUUAGAAAUAAAGCGUCUUAGAAAAUUUACNNNNNNNNNNNNNNNNNNNNNNNNNNNNNNNNNNNNNNNNNNNNNNNNNNNNNNNNNNNNNNNNNNNNNNNNNNNNNNNNNNNNNNNNNNNNNNNNNNNNNNNNNNNNNNNNNNNNNNNNNNNNNNNNNNNNNNNNNNNNNNNNNNNNNNNNNNNNNNNNNNNNNNNNNNNNNNNNNNNNNNNNNNNNNNNNNNNNNNNNNNNNNNNNNNNNNNNNNNNNNNNNNNNNNNNNNNNNNNNNNNNNNNNNNNNNNNNNNNNNNNNNNNNNNNNNNNNNNNNNNNNNNNNNNNNNNNNNNNNNNNNNNNNNNNNNNNNNNNNNNNNNNNNNNNNNNNNNNNNNNNNNNNNNNNNNNNNNNNNNNNNNNNNNNNNNNNNNNNNNNNNNNNNNNNNNNNNNNNNNNNNNNNNNNNNNNNNNNNNNNNNNNNNNNNNNNNNNNNNNNNNNNNNNNNNNNNNNNNNNNNNNNNNNNNNNNNNNNNNNNNNNNNNNNNNNNNNNNNNNNNNNNNNNNNNNNNNNNNNNNNNNNNNNNNNNNNNNNNNNNNNNNNNNNNNNNNNNNNNNNNNNNNNNNNNNNNNNNNNNNNNNNNNNNNNNNNNNNNNNNNNNNNNNNNNNNNNNNNNNNNNNNNNNNNNNNNNNNNNNNNNNNNNNNNNNNNNNNNNNNNNNNNNNNNNNNNNNNNNNNNNNNNNNNNNNNNNNNNNNNNNNNNNNNNNNNNNNNNNNNNNNNNNNNNNNNNNNNNNNNNNNNNNNNNNNNNNNNNNNNNNNNNNNNNNNNNNNNNNNNNNNNNNNNNNNNNNNNNNNNNNNNNNNNNNNNNNNNNNNNNNNNNNNNNNNNNNNNNNNNNNNNNNNNNNNNNNNNNNNNNNNNNNNNNNNNNNNNNNNNNNNNNNNNNNNNNNNNNNNNNNNNNNNNNNNNNNNNNNNNNNNNNNNNNNNNNNNNNNNNNNNNNNNNNNNNNNNNNNNNNNNNNNNNNNNNNNNNNNNNNNNNNNNNNNNNNNNNNNNNNNNNNNNNNNNNNNNNNNNNNNNNNNNNNNNNNNNNNNNNNNNNNNNNNNNNNNNNNNNNNNNNNNNNNNNNNNNNNNNNNNNNNNNNNNNNNNNNNNNNNNNNNNNNNNNNNNNNNNNNNNNNNNNNNNNNNNNNNNNNNNNNNNNNNNNNNNNNNNNNNNNNNNNNNNNNNNNNNNNNNNNNNNNNNNNNNNNNNNNNNNNNNNNNNNNNNNNNNNNNNNNNNNNNNNNNNNNNNNNNNNNNNNNNNNNNNNNNNNNNNNNNNNNNNNNNNNNNNNNNNNNNNNNNNNNNNNNNNNNNNNNNNNNNNNNNNNNNNNNNNNNNNNNNNNNNNNNNNNNNNNNNNNNNNNNNNNNNNNNNNNNNNNNNNNNNNNNNNNNNNNNNNNNNNNNNNNNNNNNNNNNNNNNNNNNNNNNNNNNNNNNNNNNNNNNNNNNNNNNNNNNNNNNNNNNNNNNNNNNNNNNNNNNNNNNNNNNNNNNNNNNNNNNNNNNNNNNNNNNNNNNNNNNNNNNNNNNNNNNNNNNNNNNNNNNNNNNNNNNNNNNNNNNNNNNNNNNNNNNNNNNNNNNNNNNNNNNNNNNNNNNNNNNNNNNNNNNNNNNNNNNNNNNNNNNNNNNNNNNNNNNNNNNNNNNNNNNNNNNNNNNNNNNNNNNNNNNNNNNNNNNNNNNNNNNNNNNNNNNNNNNNNNNNNNNNNNNNNNNNNNNNNNNNNNNNNNNNNNNNNNNNNNNNNNNNNNNNNNNNNNNNNNNNNNNNNNNNNNNNNNNNNNNNNNNNNNNNNNNNNNNNNNNNNNNNNNNNNNNNNNNNNNNNNNNNNNNNNNNNNNNNNNNNNNNNNNNNNNNNNNNNNNNNNNNNNNNNNNNNNNNNNNNNNNNNNNNNNNNNNNNNNNNNNNNNNNNNNNNNNNNNNNNNNNNNNNNNNNNNNNNNNNNNNNNNNNNNNNNNNNNNNNNNNNNNNNNNNNNNNNNNNNNNNNNNNNNNNNNNNNNNNNNNNNNNNNNNNNNNNNNNNNNNNNNNNNNNNNNNNNNNNNNNNNNNNNNNNNNNNNNNNNNNNNNNNNNNNNNNNNNNNNNNNNNNNNNNNNNNNNNNNNNNNNNNNNNNNNNNNNNNNNNNNNNNNNNNNNNNNNNNNNNNNNNNNNNNNNNNNNNNNNNNNNNNNNNNNNNNNNNNNNNNNNNNNNNNNNNNNNNNNNNNNNNNNNNNNNNNNNNNNNNNNNNNNNNNNNNNNNNNNNNNNNNNNNNNNNNNNNNNNNNNNNNNNNNNNNNNNNNNNNNNNNNNNNNNNNNNNNNNNNNNNNNNNNNNNNNNNNNNNNNNNNNNNNNNNNNNNNNNNNNNNNNNNNNNNNNNNNNNNNNNNNNNNNNNNNNNNNNNNNNNNNNNNNNNNNNNNNNNNNNNNNNNNNNNNNNNNNNNNNNNNNNNNNNNNNNNNNNNNNNNNNNNNNNNNNNNNNNNNNNNNNNNNNNNNNNNNNNNNNNNNNNNNNNNNNNNNNNNNNNNNNNNNNNNNNNNNNNNNNNNNNNNNNNNNNNNNNNNNNNNNNNNNNNNNNNNNNNNNNNNNNNNNNNNNNNNNNNNNNNNNNNNNNNNNNNNNNNNNNNNNNNNNNNNNNNNNNNNNNNNNNNNNNNNNNNNNNNNNNNNNNNNNNNNNNNNNNNNNNNNNNNNNNNNNNNNNNNNNNNNNNNNNNNNNNNNNNNNNNNNNNNNNNNNNNNNNNNNNNNNNNNNNNNNNNNNNNNNNNNNNNNNNNNNNNNNNNNNNNNNNNNNNNNNNNNNNNNNNNNNNNNNNNNNNNNNNNNNNNNNNNNNNNNNNNNNNNNNNNNNNNNNNNNNNNNNNNNNNNNNNNNNNNNNNNNNNNNNNNNNNNNNNNNNNNNNNNNNNNNNNNNNNNNNNNNNNNNNNNNNNNNNNNNNNNNNNNNNNNNNNNNNNNNNNNNNNNNNNNNNNNNNNNNNNNNNNNNNNNNNNNNNNNNNNNNNNNNNNNNNNNNNNNNNNNNNNNNNNNNNNNNNNNNNNNNNNNNNNNNNNNNNNNNNNNNNNNNNNNNNNNNNNNUAACAGCUUUCAAACCGGAACAAAUCUCUACACUAAUAUGAAAAUUAUAUUGUAGAAGCAAAUAUGGAUUGUAAGGAACAACCUAUUAGUUAUCAAAUGUUGCAUUUCAGACUUUCACCUAUGAAUUAGGAAUUGAAGAAAUUUGACUAAUUGUUACGUACUAAUAUCGUAAAUUAAGAAAACUAAUGUUAAUAAGAAUAAUAAUGGUAUUUACCUUAUAUCCAUAAUUUCUUCUUCUAUAUAUUGGAUAUACAUCAUUUCCUUGCACUGUCUUCGAGGAAAAUGGUCUUGGAUAAUGGAAUCAACAUGUCCUGCUUACUAUACAUGGAAAUUUGUUGUUAUAUUCUCCAUAGGGUUCAUGUAGCAUGUGUUUGACAACUACUUUGUAAAGAGUAAAUUUUGUUUCUUUGUCUGGGAUUUUUGCCUACAUAUAUUUGUCAUAUUGGUCAGCAUUUGUGAUUUUGUAACCACUUUUCAAUAUAAUUAAUAUGUGAGCACGUGGAAGUCCUCUUUUUUGAAAUUCAAUCACAUAAAGAUAAGCCGCAACUUUGUUAAGAAUCUCUUUUUUCAAUAUUUGAUCUUUUAGGUCCAUUAGCUUUCCUCUAAAGACCUUUGUAGUGAGAUUGGGUCUAUCUUGAGGACGUUGACCUUCUUCGAGUUUGUCUUAAUGUCUUGGUGUCAACCCGCCUCCCCAUUUGGAAAUAGUAGAGGAUAUUGAAGUGAAUCGUAACAACUGAAGUAGUGUCGAAUAAUAUGUCGAUUUCUAGAAUGUGCAUGAACAAUAAUAUUCCUUUCGAAAGGUAUGAGAUCAUCAUUUCUUUCUAUCCAUAGGGCAGCCACUUGAUUGAUGGUCGGUGUAUUGUGUACACGUUGAUCGAUAUUAACAUUGCUUGCAAUAUGUAUCUGUAUAUUGUCAAUGCAUGAUUGGUCCUUUAUGGUAUGAAAAAAUUGAGCAUAAGGAUAGUGUUGUAGAAGUUGCAUCAAUUGUUGAACAAUGGUUUUUAUCAAGAUCGGCAUCUCUUAGUAUGUGAAUCAUGUUUUCCAAUUCGUGAUCAACAUUGUAAAAAUACAAUUGAAAAAAUAUAGGUCGUUUUUCUGGUAAAAAAGCUGGAAGAUCAUGGUAUAUUUGCCCGUGAGCUCUAAAUGUGUGAACUCCCUUGUUUGAUGUAGUGAGAUCUUUAUCAAAAUUUACAUCGAACGAAAUGAAGGAAAAUAUGCUGUUAUAACCUCUCAAAUUUUUUUGACAUAAAAUCCCUUCACUGGAUUGUGAAUUAAACAAAUGAUACAAUUCAUUUGGCACUUUGUUUUCAGCAAGUCGGAUCUAAUAAAUGUUGAAUGAAAAAUUUUUAACUGAUAAAUUAUACAAAUGUUUGAUAAUAGAAGGUAGAAAAUAUUUGACCUAACCAUUUUGACAACAAAAUGUUGGAGUUUCAUACUCAUUUUGUUGUGCCCCAAAAAGUGCAUGAACGUAUUUUCUUAAGCUCGUGUAUUGGAGAACACCUGUACAAUAUUAAAUGAACUUUGACAACUAAUAUUGGUAAAAAAAUAAUGUAGAGUCAAUCCAACGAUCCAAGAGUAAGACCUUGAAUUUGAUUCCGAUUUUGUUCUUGUUUGGUUUCAAUGGAAGAUGAGAUACAACACUUGUUGUCUGUGUCCUCUGUGUAUCUCUUCUUUCUGGAUUCAAUUGUAAGCUAAAUCUUUCUGAUCCUUUGUACUUUUGAGAGCCUUAAAUAUUUUGUUCUUUUACGUUGGUUAUCAUGUCUAAGGAAUUAUUUCCUGAGACUCAACAACACGAAAAUAAAUGAAUUUAAAGAGUUAUUGAUUAGAGUGUCUUAUAAAGUUAGAUUACAUUUUAUAUGCAUUUAAAUAAUGGAAAGAAUUGAAAUUAUUUAAUUAUAAAUUACUUGAACUUCUAGAAAAAUGAUUACAUAUUAGUAUAUAUGUAGAACCUGAUGAAUUUUUUAAAAUCAAUAUUUAAGUUGUUAAAAUCUCUACGAUUUUAGUGUUUGAAUAUGAAGUGUUUUAGUGUAAAUGUUAGUAAUAUUUGUGAAUGAAUAUACAGUAUAAUCAGAUGUAUAAAAGAACUUCGAGUGGUAAAUAAAAACAUUAAUAAUUAAUAAGUUGAAUAAAAAUAGAAAUGAAGAGGAAAAAUAUUUGUUACCAAACUAUCAGAAUAAUUUUAUUAUUACUAUUACUAUAUAAAUGAUAAACUAAGCAAGCAUAAGCACUAGCAAACCAUUUUUCCUUUUUACAAUUACCAAAAAAAUCGAAAAAGAAAAACCGAAGCCUGAUGAAUAUCUUUCUUCCUUUUUUUUUUUCCCUCCCUAUUUUUGUGCUGGAAAAGAAUACUAAACAAAAAUAGAGAACAAAUUUAAAAAUCGAAAAAUAGUCAACUAAUAGUUUAAAGUGAAAUUAAUCAAAUAAAAGAGAGCCUACUUGGACUUAGAGCGCAGAGAUUGAAGCCAUGAAAAACUUGGUAGAUCUAGGGUUGGCCAUUUGUGGAAGAGCAAAAGUAAAAAAAGUGAAUAUUUUCGGGCUUCAGAAUUUAACGAAUCACAAUUUUUGGGUUUAAUUUGUUUACAAGUUUUGUUUACUCCACAAUACCACCUGCAUAAUAUGUGUUCGUCUGUGUGGGAGAGAGAGACGGUGUGACGAGAAAUUAUAUGACAAACUGCAGACCAGAAGCUAAAUGGAAAUGAAUGUUAAUUGGGAUACACGUAAAUACUAAUUAUAAUUAUUUUAGUAUUAAUGACAAUGAAUACAUAAAUGAAGAUGAAUGUAAAUUCAUUUAUACUUAAUGAAUAAAAUUAAUGUCCAAUGAAGUGAUUCAAAAUUCUUGAAUGGAUCGUAAUUAAAGGGUGUGUAUGUGAACCAAUAUAUGGGUACAUGAACUGAAGUUUUUAUUUCUUCUAAUGUUUGUGGAUUUGCGUGAGAUAUUUGGUUAUGAAAAUGAAAAAUUAAUGCUGCUGUAUAUCAGAUUUGAAAUUGCACAUAUAUUCAAUGUAGGUAAAUGUAUUCAAUAUAUAAUUAUGACUAUGUGUGCAUGCAUGCAUUUACGUUAAUGUUUCAGUAUAUUUUCUGGAUAAGAAUUGGAUAAAUAAUUUAUUAUAGCUCUAAAAUAUAUAAAGUGUAUAUGAACUUGAAGACUUGAUGUGGAAUUUAAUAUAUCUAUAAAUUAAUUAAUUAAUUAAUUAAUUAAUGUUUAUUAUUAUACAUGUACAUAAAAAAAUAAUUGAAUUGUUGUACUUCUAUAGUAAUUGAAUAGCCUCAAGUUAUAAACCAUUUUGUCUAAAUAAUUUUUCCAAGAUCAAAUUUAUAUAUUGAAUGUAUAAUUCUGUGCAUGCAUUAGGUAAAUGUAUUCAAUUGAUAAUUAUCAUUGUAUGUAUGCAUGCAUGCAUUUCUGUAAAUUCUCAGACAUCAUUUUAUUCUGAUUUUUUUAUUUUAUUGAUUCAUGCCUAGAAGUUGUAAUAUAAAUCCAGAGUAUAGAAGUUUAGAGAAAGAGGAUUUACUUAUUUUAGAUAGCUUUUGGAAAUGUUGAGAGAGUGAGCUGGUGUUCCUCAGAAUUCUCAUUUUGGAUGGAUUUUAUGGGAAUUGCUUAUUUCGAUAAUAAGUGGAUCAAUUUUGGUUUCACAAGAAGACAACAAAAUUAAUGCACAAAAAUUUAUUCCUCAAGUUUAAGAUUAAGAUUAAUCAUUAAUAUGAGGUUUAAAUUAAUUCUCCAAACUACCAUGCAUUUAUUUUAUUUUGUUUUCAAAAAUUAUUCUAUUAAUCUAUGGUUUAAAGUCAUUCUUGAAGUUCAAGUAUACAUUAUUUUGUCUAAAUUAAUUUUCCAAGAUUAUGUGUAUAUAUAGCAUGCGUGUCUAGUUUCUUUUGUAAUAAUAAUUGUGAAGAAGAAUAUUAAUUAAAAUGCUUAUUCACUUUCAAGAUUAGUCAAUAAUGUGAGAUCUAAAAUAAAUUUCCAAAGUAUUGUUCAUUUAUUUUAUUUUUCCCCACAAUUUUAACGAUACAGAAAAUUUGUUUUAAAUAUAACAUAAACUUUCUCAUAUUAAAUUAUAACUUCAGUAAAUUAUAAAUGAUAAAAUAAUAGGUGUGCUUUGCGUCGAUGUUUCGAACAAAAAUAAUAAUAUGUGUCUCUUAAAUGAUAAAAUAACAGGUGUGUUUUGAGACGAUGUUUCGAACAAAAAUACUAACAUGUGUUUCUUUAAUCUAAAUCAAUAUUCAAUCUUCUAUUUUUAGUUUCUUGCUCGGAUUGUUCCUUCAAUUAUCUCCUUUGCAUCCACCUUGUAAACUUCUUCGACAAUCAAUUUCUUCCAUGUUCUUUCUUCUCUUUUCUUCACAUCCAUCUUCACCAAGAAUUUGAACUCUUUAUCUUCCGAGGACAUUAGCUUUUUGUAUUAUUUACACAGUUCUUUUUGUUGGUCUGAGAAGAAAAUAACAAUAUAUGUUUUUAUAAAGAUGAGUUAGUCACCUAAUUUUAGUUAGAAGCAAUAUAAUAUGUUGAAAACACAAAAUCUAAAUUAUAUGUUUACCUUUAAAGAGCUUCAGCAUAUUCAAUCACAGUACUUACUAUGAAAGAUUUGGCAGCAUCAAAGAUUGUGACGUAAACUUCUUGAUUACCAUCUAAAACUAUUAUCCUCAACAAAUACUUUCUAUUAAAAGCUAUGUCUUUAAUUUCACAUAUUGUACAUGUGACGAUUUUUUUAAUCUUCCUCUGGGAAACUCUUGCACCACACUUGUUUUGAACCUUUAAAAUCUUGCCUAUAAAAGCACAAUACAAUUUAGUCACACUAUUUGUAACCAUAUCAUCUAAUUUUACGAUACCAGCAUCCACCAUCCUCUUUGUAGGUCCCAAUAGUUUGUACAAUCCUUCACCACAUAGCAAUUUUUUAGUGCUGUAAAAAAAAAAAAAAAAAAAAAAAAGAAAGCAAAAUAAAUCAUCUUUCAGCUCUAUUAAAAUCUGUUUAAAUUUAGUAGUAAUGUAAAUAUAAUCGUCAUGACUAAAUAAACCAUGCUCGCCUAUUUUUAAUAGCAUUAGUUUCUUCAAGUUGCAGAUUGAUCUCAAUGAUACUAAUAUUUGAAGUGGAGAUGUUUAGUUCAUAUGUUUGAUAGACGUUAGUAAGAACGCGGCAUAGAUUGUUGAUUUUAGCAUACAACUCUUUUUAAUAUGAUAAUAAAAUAAUUAUAUAGUAUCACCUUCAUAGUAACUUGCUCUCACAUUCAAAGCUACAAUAAGUGGCAUUGAACAGCAUCUUCCAUAGACUUUCCUUCGUUGUUAGCCAAAUCUCCCCCACAAAUGUAAUUUCAUUGUAUUACACCUGUACUAAAAAAAAAAAAAAAAUUGUUGAGUAAAUAAUAUUAUAAAGUUUAUCUUCUUUUUAUUUGAUUAAAAAAAAUUGUUUGAUUUUAUGGAUGAUGUUUACCCAUUGUCUAGGAGAAUCACUUCUCGUUUCUUCGUUGUUCUUUCACUUGGCCUCUUAACGUUGAUGAUGAACGUAGGUUUUACUUUGACAGCAAAUCCUAUAAUAUCUGAGAACACAAAAGAAAAAAAAUUUCCAGAAAGAAUUCAUUAGCCAGCGGAAAAAAAAAAAAACCUUAGAUAUCAUGAAUUUCUACACCAAUGUUUUCACUAAUGUCAUGUGGAGUGUUCCUUUUUUAUUAUUAUUUUUAUUUUUAUUUUUUUUCCCUUCUUCAAUAAAUAGCUUAAUAAAAUAGGACCUGAUAUAAAAUAUGGGUAGAGUUUUUUGAAUAUUAGAAUUAAUACUUAGUAAGACUUUCCGAACAUUAUUGGAAACUAUGCAUUUGACUGAAAAAUAUAAUUACAAUGACGAUAUCUCUACUAGCAAAAUUUCGUAUGUCAUUGAAUUGAGGAUAAGAGUUUGAUAUCUUAUAGCAUAUGUGUUCUUCAAUCUCUUCUACUUCCGUUGUAGUUGUGAAAGACAAUUCGAUUUCAUCAUUCACAUUUUGGUAUUGACAGGUCUUACAUUUUUAUUUCGUAUAAUGUAAGAUUUCCCCUUUUCAAUUAUAGCAUCGAGUUUUUGAAUUGCAUCAUUGAAUAACAUGGCUUGAAUUUUAUAUCCCUAUAGAGAAAUCACUAUGUUACUUCUAAUAUACCCGAUUGAAUAAACUCAAACAUGAAUAUACCACAUAAUCAUUACUCCAUUACCAUCAAUACUAAAUUCAAAUAAUCCAGUGUAGCAUAAAUAUUCGGUGCAUAUCAAGAGCAAAUAUUUAUUCACUACAACCUAAGUCGUCAGAUUAGAACCUAAGUCAUCAAAUUAGUAAAAUAAAAGUUUUUUUCCUUUCUUUCCUUCCUUUGAUCUCCACACCAUCUCAGAUUCUUACUAUUAAUUUUACUGUACAAAUAUAAAAGUCAAAAACAUAAGAUCCUGUGAGAUAAAUUAAAGUAUUCUUGAUAAAGCAAAAGACUUUUAGAAGCACGUAAAGAUAUGAGGGAAAUGAAAUAUUUAUGCCAUGUCAGUAUUUGAAUCUCAAAGAUGAAUUCAGAAUUAUUAAAUAUAAGGGUCAUCAUAGUAGAUAUAUUACCUCCUUGUCAAUUAGGAUGAUAUUCAAAAGAUCAAAUUUUCCAGCAUUUUGGAAUAAAAUUUGACUAAAUCCUUUCGAACUACCGUCAGUUUAAUGUACCAUUCAUUUUCAUACGCCAAUAAAUCUCUUAUAGCCUAUGAUUCCAUGAAGGGGGAGAGCAAAAUAUUUGAUGAUUUGAUUGAAAUGUGACAACAACCAAUUUGUGAAAAUAAUUUAAAUAGUUGAGGGAUUAGUUCAUUUAUGUCUAAAACUCAUGAUAACAAUCAAAUUCAUUCAUGAACAUGAAAUCUAAUUAAUUCCAAUUGAUGCUGCUGAUGCGUGUCACAUAUAUACAAUGUAUGAUUAUCACUUUAUGGGUGAAUGCAUGCAUUUAGGUAAAUGUAUUCAACAUAUAAUUACCACUAUAUGUGUCCAUGCAUGCAUUUAUGUAAAUGCUUUAGUAAGAAUUGGAUAUACAAUGUAUAAUUAUCACUUUAUCUUUCAAUUUCUAAAUCUUUAAUUGAGUGUCAUAAGACUCGGCUUCUGAAAUCAUCAACCUAGCAACUUGAUUUUAUCCUUGACCACCUUUUCAAACAGCCUCAACACGUCCUCAUAAUUAUUAUACAUGCAUGUGCAUGUAAAUAAAUAACUGAAUCGUAAUAGGGCUUGUAAGUAGUAGUGCUAGAAUCGUCCGAAAAAUGAUUUUCCCUUCAUGUGAUAUUUAGUGUAUUAUAGAUUUUUAUCCCCAACAACUUGCAUAAUAGUUAUGUAGGAAAUCAUCAUUUUUGUUAAAUCAAUUAUAUGAUUUACUUUUCUUUCAGUUGAGAAGAAAACCGACAAAAUUUGUUUUAGGUGAAAAGAAAAAUCAAAUAGAAAAUAUUUUGCUUACGUAGAAGAAAUAAAUGAGGAUAAUUUCUCACCGUACUUGUUGGUCCCAAUCGAUCUUUCAACAAUUAAUUUUAGGCACAAAUUUCAUAAGAUUCACAAAUUUUCAACCACAUUUCAUCAAUUUUUAUCAGAAUCUACUAAAAUACACCAAACAAGGGCUUAGUUCGUUUGUAAUAUUAUUGUCCAAUGAGAAAAAGUUUUUCAACAAUUUGACGUGUAAAUCGACAUUGAAUACGUGUAAUACAACCGACAGCACAUUAUAAGUAUGUUAAUUGCCGAUAUAAAAAUCAUCAACCAAGUUUAAAUUGUAUGUUAUUUGAGCAGGUAAUAAGCAACAAAACAAGGCAUGGCAUUCGUAGAGGAUAGAAUUUAGUUAAUUGGAACAUCAAAUCACCUACAUUUUUCUUGCCCAAAAGGAAACAAUGUGCUUGUAAAUAAUUUAUAGACCUUUCACGAUUAACCAUUUAAGCUAUGCAGUGACUAUUUUAGCUUUAGACAUUCUCUUUCUUUCCGUUCUAUUCUUGCUUUCAGAAGUCUCUGCGAGAAAUACAAAAUUGCAGAUUUAUGGGGUAAAAAUCAAAAGAAUGUCUCUUAACUCACACUAGACGGCCUGCUGCAUCAUAUACUCGCUCCCUGAUGCACUGGUGCUUGUAUGGGACAAGUGCAAAUCCGAUCCCUACAAAAGAUAGCUUUCAGAAGCCCAAUGCUUAAACUCAUGUGAUGAACUCAGCAUCGGAGAUGCAAAGAGAUAGGACGAACAUCACUUUCACUUAUUAGUAAAUUACUGGGUUUAAAACAAGUUCACAACGAGUAAAGGUGAAGCUGAAUCCAUGAGUAGUAGUAGUACAAUAUAAGAAGUUUCAUACUUCUUGACAUUUUAUUUCAAGCUCCACAGGUACAUUUUUGUAGCACAGGACACGUAUCCGAAUUGAUAUCAUAUAUAAACCUCAAACGCCUAAAAUUCUUGGGCAGACUAGCUCUUUCACAACUCGUAAUGUCUCAAAUUCGUAUGUUUACGAGAAGUGAUAAAUAUCCUUGAAUGUAUCGGCUCUGGUUAUUCACCGUCUGUUUCUAUGGCAUGUAUCAAUCAAAUAAUUAUAAUAACUAUUGAGUCUUUUUCACAAAACAAGGGGUAGUUAAAGAUUGGAGAACUUUUCUAUCAUUAUCCAUAAAUAAGGAAAUCAAACCAAUUAUAUGCUCCUAUAAAACAGAAAAAAAGAGUAGGUAAUGUUCUCUUCUCUUUACACUAAUAACAGUACAGGACUCGUGAUUAUCUUCCUGAUCAUUCGGCAUCAAGAUGAUGGAAUUCAAUUAUAGCACCGGAGUUUACCAACCCCAGGAUAAAUUAAGUAAGUUGUUAGAAUUCCAACAAGAGAUAGGAGUUGCAUCAACUUCGGAAGAAAUUAUGUACAAUCGAGAUAACUAUGCAAUGUGUGCAUGCCACCACGAGUGAUGCUUAAUGAAAAGCUGCAGGAGUACAAUUUGAAUUUAGAUGGCCUAAAAAGAAACAGCUGCAGGGCUUCCAUCCAAACAAGCAAAUUUAGUCUUGAGGGUUUUAAGAUACAAGAAUUAUUUUGCAACAACCACUUAUUUAUGUUUAAAUAAAUAGUCUAUUUGACAAUUACUCUCUCUGUCCCAUGUUAUUCUUCUAGAUCACUAUUUCAAUUUGUCCUAAAAGUUAUUUUGGUCACUAACUUGAGACUCUAGAUUCUGAUUAUACACCUUGUCAUGUUAUAGUGGGACAAGGCUUAACUGAAGAUAAGAAAUAAACUACCCACUGCAAUAUUAAAUGGAAGUUCAACUUGGGACAGACUUGAAUCGUCAAAAUUGACUUCUCUUCAGAAUUUGACCACUUCUGCACUCAUAUACUUAGACCCACUCAUACAAAAGCUAAGGUUAAUAGGGGCAAAAGAUUUCAUGACAAUCAGAUUUCAUAACUUUUGACAGCACAAGAGGGCCAAUAAAUAAUUUAAUAAGCGUAAUUCUAAGACCACAUAUGUAUAGUGAUAAAAAAUUACUUAAAAGCUAAACCUGACUAGUCAGAAAUAUUGAGUAAAUUUGUAAUAGUUCAACCUACGAGUUUGUAUAGGUCUUUAACUCUUUUCUCUUGACAUAUUUGCCUUCAACCUUAAGUUUGCAGAACUUCUAGAAGCAUUGUGUCUUCAUCCUAUCAAACUUUUUAGCUCUGUAAUCGGCAAUCUGAAGUAAGUAAAUGAUUUUCAUCUAUUUGACCUUUGCGAUAAUAUAUGCGACUAUUUGUUAAAAGAGGUCAUUACCUAAUAUUGGAACCACCUAAGAGCAAAUUUGAUAGAUAAUAUUAAAUAGUAUAGCAUAACAUUUUUUUUUAAUUACUAUACUGAAUAGGCGAAUACCGUCUUUGCUUCCAAACAAUUCAUAAUUCCUUCACCCAUUUAUAUGGAGGAAUGAUCGAAUCAUAAAAUCAUGAUUUUAUAACCAUGGCCAAAAAGUGAUCUACUAUUGUAACUUGAGGGGAUGAUACUUACAACCCUAAUUCUUAGCUAGAUUCAGAAUGUAAAGUGGGACGAGCAGAGCUAGAUUUUUCACGUGCGAGUCACUCGUCGGCUCAUACAAGAGCCAAGAAACAAAACAUUAAAAAUUAUGCAAGCAUUAACAUUCCUCUCUAGAUUCCAAUUCUCUAUAGGAUGAAGGACGGGCCUUUUUUCACUUCUUCUUGCUCUUCAUUAUUAUCUAUGUAUUAAACUUUAAUGAUUUAUAAUUAUAGCAUUUAUUAAAUGUAUAUAACUAUUUGUGAUAUAACAUGAUUUCUUUUAUUGCAAAUAGAAAUCACCACAAACUCCAAAAGCUCAAUUAAUUAAAGAUCAAAUAUAUGAAUAUUUUUUUUUUGCUUUUUGUUCGGUUAACUACUAUUUAUACCUUGAACUACACAAAUCUUUUUCACUAGAUUUAAUUUGAUUGAUCUCUAUAUGGCGGCCUUAAAAUGAACAAGUUGAUUCAUACCAUGGCUUACUUCGCCAUGCUCUUGAGAUUUUUUUUUUUGUUUAUUUAUCACUUAAAAUCAUUGAAAAGCACAAAAAUUACAAAAAAUCAACCCUAUACAAGCUCAAAUAACAUGUGGUCCCACAUCCUGAUUGCGCCAAUCAACUGUGGUAGAAGCACCAUCCCCUGUCCCUGAAAAUAUGCAUCGUACAACUUAUUAUUCCUUUGAGUAUCGUAGCUCGUUGCUUCACCAUCGAUAAUCUUCAGUCUAGUCAUGAUGGCAAAACCCAAGUAUAGAGAAAUUAGUGACCUUGCCUUUGAGGUUGAAGUAGAGUGCAUUCGCCAUUGACUUACCUAAGUAGUUGACAUAGUAAUGCAUCAAUGAUCUAUCUAGAAUACUUCACCUUUCUCAACUGAUACAGGGGCCACAUGAAGGACUUGAGUAGUAUAUCUCCAUGCUAAUCAUCGAGCAACUCCAAUAUAGUAAUAAAACUGUCAAAACUACUAUUUCAAGUAUAUUUACCUGCCAUUUGUCUCAACUCAGCAUCGAGAUGGUAUUCCAUUCUAAAAAAAUUCAAAUGUUAGAACAUUUUGCAAGAAAUAAUGGAAUAAAGCAUAAUUUCAGAAAUUUAAACGAACUGAAUUUUAACUAUUGUAUGCUAGAAAUAGAUUCAUUUUACAUCGAUACUAAUAAAAAAAGAAAUGAUUUAAUAAAUUAAAGGGGAAAAGAAAUAAGAAUUACAGAUAAAAAUAAAAAAAUUUAAAUGAAUUAAAUAUACAAAAAAUUUAAAAUUAAAGAAAUAAAUAACAAAAAUAAUAAAAAUUAAAGAUCUAAUAUUAAAAAGUUGAAUGGAAAAAAAAUAAAUUAUGACAAAUAGAAAACAAUUAAGAAAUUUUUUUAAAAAAGAAGAAACUAAUAAUAAAUUAAAUUAAGUAAAAAUUAAAGACCAACAUAGAAAAGGAAAAAUAAAUUAAUGAAAAUUAUAAAAUAUAAAAAUUAAAGCAAGAGUAUUUAAAAAAUCAAAAUGAAAAAAAUUUAUAUAAAGAAGAAAAAAAUUAAGAAAUUUUAAAAUUAUUAUAAAAAAAUAAAAAGAAAAAAAUUAAACGAAAGGAAAUUAUAAAAUUAAAUUAAGAGUAUAAAUAUUAUUUAAUUAAAAUCGAAAAAUUAAACUUUAUCAUAAAGAAAAGAAUUAAAAAGUAUUUAACUGAAAAAGAUUUAUUUAUAAUAUGAAGCAAACAAUUAAGAAAUUUUAAAACUAUUACCUAAAAUGUAAUAAUAAAACAAAAAAAAAUUAGACAAAAGGAAAUUAUAAAAAUUAAAUAAAGAAUAUGAAUAUUAUUUAAAAUUGAAAAAAAUUAAAUUAUCAUAAAGAGAAAAAUACUAAUAAACAAUAAAAAAUCAGGAAAAAAAAAUAAAAAUCGGCCCAAAAAAAUUGGGUUUGCCCAAUUGAAUAUUAAACAAUCGGGUUCAACAAUUGUUAACAGUUGCUUUUUCCAUUUUUAGCCGAAAAUGAGGCAAUCACAGCCCCCAAAAAAUACUUAAAUCUAGUCUACACCCGAGCAUCUAUCUAAAUACUAAACAAUAAACUAAAUGGAUGUUAAAUUUAAUCUUUACUAUAUAUGAAAAAUCAAUUUCAUAAUCACUAAACUACCAUUGUUGAAGAUAACUUCGCUCAAUGACUGGGUUGUGGAAGUCGAAGUUGGGUUGACUAUGAGGGUGGUGUGUUCGACUGGAUCCCAAUUGAGUUUUUUCUUUUCUCUCUCCACUGUUUGCACAAGAUGAGGCGAGGGUAUUUUUUUUAUUUUUGAUCUUUCACCUCAUAAUUUAACUUUUUACUCUUUUUUUAAUGGUCAAAGGCUUUAUUAGAAAUAUGCCUAGGUCAACCGGCCAUUUCCAUGUAUUUCCUCGAUUAUAUUAUCACCACAAUAAAUGUUUGGUACACCACAAAAUUUCUUAUCUAUUUAAAUGAUUUUUGAGUAAAGUGACAUAAAUAUCAUAUAUUAUUAGCUUCUAUAUUUAUUCAUUCUUGUUAGGAGUAUGACUCAAAUAGGAAUCUUUUGAAGAGGCGAAUUCGACUUGGACUAAGAAAAUAUUAAAUUAGGGUUUAAGGAAACAAAAUCCUAUUGAAAUUGGGUCUCCUAAUAGUAAUGUGUUUUCUUGCCUUUUACGACUCUUCUAGGAUUGGCCUAUAAAUACGAGACUCCUCUGGUUAAUUUGUAGAGAGUAACAUAGAAGCAGUAUGAUAGUCUAUUUUGUAUUCUCCAUACUGUUGAAUUAAUAAAUAUUGUUCCUCUGUGUUUACCCCUUGUUUUGUUUCUUUACAAAUUCAAUCUUGUGUUCUCGUGAUGCGAUCUAGUAAACUUCAAUAUUGUCAUUAAAUCUCGUUAUUUAAAAUCCGAUUUGGAAUCAAUGUGUGUUAUUGGAGCUUUCGCGCCCAAUAGGUGGUAUCAGAGCGAGGUUGUUGAUUUUCUGUGGAUUGGUUAAGAUUCUUUCGAAAUGGCUAGGUUGAAGUAUGAUGUUCCGCUGUUAGAUUGCAAUACAAGGUUUUCAUUAUGGCAAGUAAAGAUGAGGGCUAUUUUAGCACAGUUGGAUUUGGAUUAUGCGUUGCUGGGUAUUGAGAGGAUGCCAGCUGGUUGGAUAGCGGAGGAGAAACAAUGGAAGGAUCAAAAGGCCGUUUCAUUGAUUCAUCUUCAUCUGUCCAACAAUAUUUUCCAGGAUGUCUUGAAGGAGAAAAUGGAGGCUGCUUUGUGGUUGACGUUGGAACAGUUGUGUAUGAUUAAGAGUCUUACAAGUAAACUAGCUCUCAAGCAGAAGCUGUAUUCACAUCGCAUGGCAGAAGGAGGGUCGUUGGAAGACUAUGUUGCCAUGCUCAAGGAAAUAGUUGCAGAUCUGGAGACAUUGGAGGUUAAGUACGAUGAAGAGGAUGUUGCCUUGAUCCAGUUGUGUUCGCUGCCUGGAUCUUAUGCGUCAUUUCGGGAUACUAUCAUAUAUAGUUGAGAUACUUUAACUAUAGAAGAUGUUUAUGAUGCUUAACACUCAAAGUAGAAAAUGAAGCAUUUGGUUGGAGCUAUAUCAAGGGAUGGGGAAGCUCUUGUAUCUUAAAGUGGUCAAUGAAGAGGCAGAUCAAGAGUUAGAUUUAGCAAUGUGACCUAUUACUACUACAAAAGGAAGGGACAUAGUCGGAAGGAUUGCGAUAUGUUGCAAGCUAAAGGUGAUUUAGCUGUAAAUUGUGGGGUGCAACCUUUGAAUUCAGACGAAACCAAUGUAGUUGAGAAUUGUUCAGGUAGCGAAGAGGUGAUGUUGACCGUGGUAUCUGAUGUGGAGUCUAGGCCUGAUGAGGAGUGGAUUUUUAAUUCAGCAUGUUCGCACCAUAUGUGUUCCGAUAGGAAUUUAUUUAAGAGAUAUAAGGUUGUUCAGCACGGUGGGGUUGUAAUGGAAAACAACCAAUCUUGUUGUAUUGCUUGGAUCAGUCGAGUCAGAUUGAGGCUGCAGGAUAGAACAUUUAGAACAAUUAAUCAACUUCGACAUGUUCCUGACCUGAAAAGUAAUCUCAUUUUGUUAAGUACCUUGGAUGCAAAAGGGUAUAAAUUCUCUGGAAGAGGUGGAGUCUUGAAGGUCUAAAAGGGAGUUCGAGUUGUACUAGAGGGACGGAAAAGAUCCCAAUUGUACAUUUUGUAGGGGAGUGCAGAACUAGUUAAGAGGAGACAUUUGGACAAGUUUAGUACCGUGGUGAAAGUUCAGUUUUGGUACAGUACUUCUUAUGUUAGGCUCUGAGUCGAUUCAGAACACUGCUAGGGAGAACGUUGGUGAUUUCGCUUUGCAUCGAUUUCAGCGAAUAUACUGUGUUCAGUUGCUGGAAUAGGACUCAUCAAGCGUAGGUACUGUGGUGUCAGUAAUAUCUGGGAUGCUUUUAGAGAAGUUAAAGGCGAUAGUUCCAGCAAGGGCCCUUCUAAUAAAGUAUCUGGUUUGGUUUUUCCUACAGGGUAUGGUUCGGCCCUUUGUGAUCAGCAUUAAUUCCUUGGUAGAAUUGAAACCCUAGGGAUUGGGUUCUGGUGUCGGCUGUGGACGCCGGGUAGAGGAUGAGUGUUUAGCUUAUAUGGAGUGGUUACUGUGUUGAGGAGAUUCGGCCAGUUAGUUUCGAUGCAGAUGAAUUUGAAAUCUAGAAGUUUCGUUUGUAGCACCGAAAUUAAAGUCGAGGUGGAGAUUGUUAGGAGUAUGACUCAAAUAGUAGUCUUUUGAAGAGGCGUAUUCGACUUGGACUAGGAGAAUAUUAACCUAGAGUUUAAGAAAACUAAGUUGAAUAAGAAAACAAAAUCCUAUUGAAAUUCGGUCUCCUAAUUGUAAUAUAUUUUCUUGCCUUUUAGGACUCUUCUAGGGUUGGCCUAUAAAUACGAGGCUCUUCUGGUCAGUUUGUAGAGAGUAACAUAGAAGCAGUAUUGCUAGUCUAUCUUGUAUUCUCUAUACUGUUGAAUUAAUAAAUAUCGUUCCUCUACGUUUACCCUUUGCGUUCUUUCUUUACAAAUUCAAUCUUGUGUUUUCGUAGUGUGAUCUAGAAUACUUCAAUACUGUCAUUAAAUCUCGUUCUUUAUAAUCCGAUUUGGAAUCAACGUGUGUUAUUGGAGCUUCCGCGCUCAACAAUUCUCAAGUUUGCUCUGAUACAACGAAAGGAACGACCGAUGUUGAUAAAUGAAUUGAAGGAGAAAAGUAUACAUUUGUUCCAUAGAAAUAAAAGGCAGGCACAUUUUUGUAUACAAGAAAUUACAUAACUAAUUUACAUGAAAAUAGUUAACUGAACAAACUCCGUUAGUGAUAUCUAUUUUUUUGUUCGGAUUUGAUUCACAUAUUUCAACAAGAAGUAACCUUUUUUUAUUAAAUGAGCAAGUAGUAACUUAGAAUAAAAUUUGGUGGGCAAUUAUUAAUUAACUCUAAAACAUACAUAAUUCUAAAAUACGUAAAGAAACAAUCGAUAAUUCUAAAAUACGUAAGGGAACAAUCGAUAGAGAAGAUGAACUUGCAUGGUGAAAAACCUAAAAGAAAAACCGGAAUUGGUAUUGGCUUUUGUGAAUUCAGAGGGCUUUUCUCUUCUUAAAUUGUGAGAGAGAGGAGAGAGAAUAUAAGAAAUGAAAGCUAAAAGCGAGUCAACUUUUUGGAAAGCUUAGAAUGCAUUUGAUUUGUUAUUUUCAGUUUUUAAUUUUGUAAUACACUGAAAACAUGUUUGAUUUGGUAUAUCUAAAAAUACAAUUUUGAAAAUAAGGACAAAAUUAUAACAUAAAAUUCAAAACACAUUUUCCAUGUCUUGUGUGUUUUCAGUGAAAAUUAAAAAAUACAAAAUAUAAAAUUCUAACAAAUAAUACUUUAUAUUUUAAAAAAUUUAAAAAAAAUAAUUUCUAAAAUUUAAAAUUAAAAGUUGAAAAAUAAAAUUAAAAAAAUAAAUUUUUUAAGCACAUAAUGAUGAUUUAUAUAAAAAUUCAAAAAAAAAUUAAAAAAAUUAUAUUCUUAGUCUACAUCAUUAAUCUUUAUUUUUAUUUUCUAUAUGUUAAAAUCAAUUUAUUAUUUAUUUUUAUUUUACUUUUAUAGCGAGACAAAAUAUUGUAAGAUUCACCAACUUUAAAAUGUAUAUGUUACAUGAUAAUAAAAUGUCAUAAAUAAUUUUUCAAAAUUCAAAUUGUUGGGUUUUUUGAUACCCAAUAAUCCAGGCGAUGAUUUAAAAUAGUUGUCAGAUUAUUUAUCGACACAAUGGACUUGGCUCGACUCGGAGAUAAACUACACUUUUGGAUGGUUCGGGUUUGGGUUGGAUGAUUAUUUGGUUAGUUGGACCAUUUAGUGAUUAAUAUGGAGUUGAAUAUUGGCCCAUAGUUUAGGUUAAUUGGUAACCCGCUUAGUGAACCCUAGACCCAAUUAGAGUGACCUAAACUAACCUAUAUAUAUGUAUUUAUCUCCCAGUCGUUUUUGGUGGUGGUGUGUGUUGUAGCAAUGGAGAUGAGAGUUGAGAGAAGAGAGGCAACCAUGAGAGAGGGAAGCCAUGUGAGGUUGUAAGUAAGAUUCAACUAUUGUUCUUCUUCCUCUCCAUACCUUUAUGGAUUGCUAACACCACCACCCUUCUCCUUUGUGGGGUUAGAGAGAAAGAGAACAGUCCAAAGUAAAGGUGAAAGUCUCGGGUCGAGUCAAGGUAAACCGGUAUUCGUUUGAUUAUUUUCUGAGCCCGAAAUCAAGAUUUAUCGAGGGAUUUCCACUACAAAUGGUAUCAGAACUUGUGUUAUUGAUAAAUCUGUGAUUUUUAGGGCUAAAAACGGGCUGGAAGUGGUCAGAAACGGGUUUGAAAAUCAGAGGCAGAAACUAUUCGAUUUUUUCAAUUUUCUACCGAAUCUGUUUUGGCGUAUUCUGAUGAAACCAAAAACAGUUUGGAGAAACGGACACCACCAUUGGACUGUGCAGGUGGAGACAAUUCAGAAAGGUUGGGGCGGCACGCGGCGCGUGAGGGUGCGUCUGGAGGAUUCCAGCGAAGUGGUCUUCAGACAGAAUCUUCCCCAUGACGAGAUGGACCCUGCAGUGUUUUCAGAUUUCAAUUUGGAGUAAUACAGUGAAAGUUGAACGAUUUUGCCCUUGGACGUUCGGGUGCCGAGUGCUGUUUUCGUGUUGCUGUGAUUGCUGUUGACUUUAGGAUGAAGAGUGAUAGUCCUGAAGUGGUGAAUUCGCGUCUCUCGAUAUUUACGGACCUUCAGACGUGGUCCGCUCGGUAUCGUAUUCUUUACUUUAUAUUAUAACAGUUAAAAUAAAUGUGUAGAGUAAUUUAUUUUUUGCAUCAAAGGUCAUCGUGUGGGUUACAUUAGGUUUGGGGUUACCAUGAAGGGGUAACCAUUGCCUAUUGCUAGACCUAGGAAUUAUUUGUUAAUUAUUUGCCUUAAAUUCUUUGUGAAUUUGCUGUCAAUUUUUCUACAUUAUUAGAAUUGUAUGUGGCCUUGGGAAAGUUUACUGGAUUAUUCUAUGUGAAUUAUGUUCAUACUUUACUUGUGGUCAUUAUUUGACAUUGGGGGUAAAUGAGGUCUAAGGUAAGUGGGAAAAAUAACAUAUAUUUUAACUAUGGUAAAAUUUGGACAUAGUUGAAAGAGAUUGUCCUAGGAUGAUAAUAAAAGGAAAGAUGAGGAUAGAGACAAGGCGAAUCUGGCUUUACAAGCAUAGUGGGUUAAGUUUUGUGACGUAAUCUAUUUGCUCUGUGAGUGGUGUAAGAGUGUGGUAGUGAGAAGAAAGUUGGGCAGCCGUUUCUCUCCUUCAUCUUUGUGAGCCUGUGUGAUUUGUGAGAUUAUAUAAGGCAGUCAUGUUAGGGUUACCUUCUUUAUCCUUGUGAGCCUUUUUUUGUGAGUGUAGUGAAGUAACCGACUCUUUCUUCGAUUCUCUUUGAGAGUGUCACCUUCACUAUUUUCUUUGUGAAUUUUUGGGAGCAUUGGUGAGUGGAUUAACCUUUGUGGUCACCGAAAGGUGUUGAUUUGUCAUAGUGAGUUUGAGAUGCAUUAGCAGUGAGUUGGAUGUCUUUUGGUAAAGUGGAGUAUAGAUGCCUAGGGGUACAUGGUGAUUUGUACUGAGGGAUGUAGAGUGUGACAUUUGGAUCACGAGUGGAGAUGUCAUCAAAUGUGUAGAGUCAUUUAUCUGUGAAAGAGACCCUGUACAAGUGGAGUGUGAGAGAGGCACUUCUAUCACUUCUGUAAAGUGGAGUCCCAUUAUCCACGUAGGUUGAGAGAAGUGAUGUGGUGAUAGAGGAUUAUCCCGAGAGUUUAGGAUCUAUUAUGACUUACCAGUUAGACAUGAGUUAAGUGAGCAUUGUGGGCGAUGAGAGGAGAUAUGUGUUCUCGAGAUGGGAGUAACACGGAAUGUGAUAGGAUAAGUGUGGUGAGAUUUUUCAUGGGGUCAUUUAUGUAUUUGUUGCAUAUGUGCAUGACCUUGUGUUGAUUAACUAAGUGUUAAUCUGUGGUUCUGUGUGAACGUGGUUUUGAAAAGAUCUGUGUGUGUGUGUUAUCCUAUAUAUCUUCAUCGCAUGAUUAUUUGUUCAUUGUGAAUACUUGUUUCUACUUGGGUAUUAUUGACCUUAGCCCUGGUGAGUAUAUGGAGCAAGUAUCGUAUGUGUUUCAGGUUGGAAACACAAGGUAAGGUCUGUUAUUCCAAUUUUAUUGGAUUACCUUGAUUGUGCAAGUAUAAAUUGUGUGUUUUGGUUGCUUGCAGAUUAUUGGGCAUCAAGGUGGAGAUUGUUAGGUUUUUUGAUACCCAAUAAUCCGGGCGAUAAUUUAAAACAGUUGUCAGAUUAUUUAUCGACACCAUGGACUUGGCUCGACUCGGAGAUGAACUACACUUUUUGAUGGUUCGGGUUUGGGUUGGAUGAUUAUUUGGUUAGUUGGACCAUUUAGUGAUUAAUAUGGAGUUGAAUAUUGGUCCAUAGUUUAGGUUAAUUGGUAACCCGCUUAGUGAACCCUAGACCCAAUUAGAGUGACCUAAACUAACCUAUAUAUAUGUAUUUAUCUCCCAGCCAUUUUUGGUGGUGGUGUGUGUAUUGUAGCAAUGGAGAGGAGAGUUGAGAAAAGAGAGGCAACCGAGAGAAAGGGAAGCCAUGUGAGGUUGUGAGUAAGAUUCAACCAUUGUUCUUCUUCCUCUCCAUACCUUUGUGAAUUGCUAACACCACCACCCUUCUCCUUUGUGGGGUUAGAGAGAAAGAGAGCAGUCCAAAGUGAAGGUGAAAGUCUCGGGUCGAGCCAAGGUAAACCGGUGUUCGUUUGAUUGUUUUCUGAGCAUGGAAUCAAGAUUUAUCGAGGGAUUUCCGCUACACAAAUCAAAUGUGUUUCUUGUUUUUUUUAUUUUGAAAAAUAAUUUUUCAAAAUGACAAACCCAAUGCGUUUUUAGUAAUUUUAAAAUAGACCCUCAAAAUAUAUAACAGAAAAAUGAACUUAAAACUGAAAGACAAACCACUCUCAUGGAUGCAAAUUAUUCCUACGUUAUAUAAUUUUUUGUUAUUUCCCUUUUCUUCUUUGUUUGGCUAAGCUAAAAUUUUUUAAAAAAUUAAAAAAAAAUAAACAGAGGGUAAGCAUUAUUUUAAGCAAUAAUAUUAUAAAAGUUAUUUUAUCCUUGAGUAAAAAGAUCGAAGGUCUAUUCUUAGUUUAACCGUUACAUCAAAAUCAUAAAAUCCACCACUUAUCGGCCUAUGCUCGAUCAACUCGAAGCAGCUGGGAGGUCUACCCCCAUACAAUCCAUUAGACUGACAUUUUUUUCUUUCACUUUAUUUUGCUUACCCACACUAGAUUUAUAGAAUUAAUUAUAGGGUUACAAUAUGUAAACAGUGUCAUUCCUCAUACAUAAAGAGAUAUUUACAGAAUAUGAAUAUAAUAUUAUUCAACUAGCUCUUCAAAUGAGACUCAAUAAAUAAUUGUAGUUCUAUUUAGUUGAUAAUAGGGUUAACAUAUAUACAAAUGACAUUGUUAUUAAAGACGCUAUAUUAUUGUCCAAAACUUCGUCCUUGCUCCUUUAUUUCCAUGUAAAUGCAGUCAUUUUUGUCAUUGGUUUUUAACAUAAAACAUCUUAUUUAAAGAUUUCCAUAUGAGCUAAAUUAAUAGACGAUAUUUAAAAGCAUGUCCAUUGUAGGUCGACAUCACACAAAAAAAUGGACAAUGUCUAGGCAAUGAUAUAGAUGCAGAGACUUUAUUAAACAUUCUCGCUCAGCAAUUCAAUUGAUUAUGUUUCUCAUUUUCUUUUUUUAUAUAUCAGAUUUUCUUUCCCUUUCACUCUAUUUUAUUAUUUGUAUUUUAAUGUUGAUAAAGGACAUUAUAUAUGCUAAAAUAUUGAAAUAUAAAUGAAACUCAUUGGAGAACAAUUAUAAACUUGACAUCUAUUCUUAGACAUCAAUAACAAUUUUCAUAUCUACUAAAAAUCCAUAUAUUCAAAAGUCACAUGGGUCGCUAUUCACGAAAUGCAUUGAAGAUGCUAGAGUCAAUUCCAGUUGUCUCAAAUAGCUGAUGAGAUCCAUUAACUUAUUUUAACUUUAAAAUCAACUCAAUUGGUAGAGAAUAAAAAGGAGAAAGUAAAUUGUAUAGAAGAUACGAUUAAAUAAUGAAAUACCUAAGCAUUAAUAUUUUUGUUCAUUUCUAGAACUGAAAAAUAAAAUAAAAUAUGGGAAAUCACUCCUAGGCAAUAAUUAAAGAGAGGUUGUAUUACCACCACAAGAAAUGGUUGGUAUGCCACAUUUUUCUUAUUUAUUUAAAUAAUCACGAAAUAACAUAGAUCUCAUAUAUUAUUAGCUUAUAUAUUUAUUCAUUCCAUCACCAUCAUCCAUACACGUUGCAUUUUCAUUAUAAUAUACUAACGAUUAAUAGAUAUUAUUUUACAAACAAUCUAACUUAAUGUUUUUAGAUUAACUGUAAAUCUCAUUAGAAAUCUACAAAUUGGCUAGCUAAAACUUUGGUCAAACUUAAUUCAUUUUACUACUAGUCAAUUGAUAUGGAAAGUUUCCUCAGCAAAAUUAUUUGAAUAUGAGUUGGCGUUCAACUUGUUCAAUUCAAUCUCAUUCAAUAAGUCGUUCAUUUAUCAAACAAUUGAAAUCCGUAGUGAACACUGAAAUCCAAUCAAUCCUUAAAUGACAAAUGAAAUAUUGAUGAAAAAGAAGCUGAACCUUUCCAGAUAAAAUUCUACUUUCCAAAGAGUUCAAGUUGAUUCAAUAACUCUUUAUAAAAUUGAUUAUUUUCCGCCAUAUAUAUGUUCCUUAACAGAUUAAAAUUCAAACUAUAUGAACAUAAAUUUAUUUAAGCAACUAAAUUAAUUAUUUUUAUGCCAUAAUUAUAAUUUCAGCUCAAGAUGGAUAUGAAGCUAACAAGGGCGCGCGUAUGCACGAAGAAUUCCUCCAUGCUCUUGCAUGCAAUUUAAGAAUUUCUCUGGCUCUCUCCUUUGUCUUUGAUCCUCGAUCAAAAACUUCCAGUACCAGGCACAAUUUUGCCACUGCACCAAUCUGCAACAUUUCUUGUAAAACUCCAGGAGUUGCUGAGAACUUCGAUAUCGAAUGUAGAAUUCUUAUUCCGCUCUCAUUUGCUGUAGAUGAAACCCUAAGAAUCUUCUUCGAAACAAUGGCUAAUCCUGCGCUGUGAUUCAACAGUUCUGCUCUUCCCUCGGCGCAUUUGCAUAGCAAAUUCAGCUCCAUAAGCAUCAAUUCGGAAGCCCUUUUGUCAGAAGAAUCGAGUAAAAGGUCAAUCAACAAGGGCACUGCUCCAGCUUCCACUGCUUUAAUCCUGUUUUUUUCCCAUGGACAUACCUUGAUAAGAACUUUCAGUGUGGCUUUUGAGACCUUCCGAGAGAUUUGAUCGUUCAAGAUAUCUACUAAUUCGUGGAAGAAUUCGGAUCUGAGACUGAUCGGUUGAUUUGGAUCAGCCACUUCGAACAUGGAUUUCAGAAACAUGACAGCAUAGACACGAGAAUCAUAGCUCCCGGAUUGCAUGACGCUCGUUAAGGACAGGAUUAACUCGAUAUUAUUCUGCAAGAGGGAUUUGAGCCCGGAUCCCGAUAGCUGGAGAUUAUAGAGAAUGAUAGCUGGAGAUUAUAGAGAAUGCUCAAGGCUUCAUCACUUGCUCUUCUCAACUCAAUCACAUCUUCUGAUACUUCUGCUGAAGAUGCCUCUACGGUUUUCUUCACGAUUAACGAAGCUAAGAACUCAGCCGUGCCUGCUGUUUCCAUGCAUCUUUUAUUCGUUUCGUUGUGAGAAGCAAUGGAUCUGAGUCUUGCUUGUUCGGAGAGUUGGCAUCAUUGAAAAGCUUCAAAAGUUGGGACUUACUGAUUGGAGCUUUCGGGGUUGGGAGCCUCUCGAUGCCUUCUGGAGCAUGGAGGGUGCACCAGGAUUGGAUAAACUGCCGGAGAAUAAUGUUUGGGAUCAAUUCUGAAUCCAUAACCACUUGCUUCGUUACCGGGCAAGUAUUAUUAUUCUGAGAAAACAGCCAUUUUUCGAUGCUCUCCCGAUCAUAUGUUAUACCGGUAGAGAGCGUAACAGGAUCCUUCAUAAUCUCUAGACUGAUGGGGCAGAGAAAGUAGGAUGGAAUUUCAAUUUCAUCCAUAGAAGAAGAAGUAAUUAAAAAGAUCAAGAUUUGAUAAACCUAAGAUCUGAUCCAAAAGAAUAGGUGAUUAUACAAUUUUAAGCAAGAAAAUUAAGCUGAAGAGAAGUACAAAAAUUUUGUAAGCUAUAGAUGAAAAUCAAAGAAAGUGAGGUUCUUGAGUUGUGUGGAUUGGUUUGAAGAUUUAUGAGUUUGGAGGAUAUGGUUUUAUAUGUGUCUAUAAAGAGAGGUAAAGAUUCAAAAUGUCAAAGUCAAAACUUGGAAAAUUUUGUCUGUUCAGUUUGUGUGAAGGAAAGAGUAUUAUUGUGCUUUUUUUUCUUUUUUUUUUAAAUUAUAACAAAAACAUUUUGAACUUGGAGUUUUCUAACAUGCAAUUUGAAAAUGACAACUUUACCAAUAAUUUUCUCAUUUAAAAUUGAAACACGUGAUUAAGUCGUAUUUAACCAUGAAGGAGUAAAACUGAAGAUUCUGAGUUUGGAAAAGUUCAAUUUUGGUUUAAUUAUUUCACGAAAGUAACUUCGACCAGUUAUUAUUAUAAAAUUUCAUUCAAUUCAGUUGAACAGGUGUAGAUUUAUUUGAAUGAAUUGAAUUUGUAGUAUUUUUAUUUUAAUUGAAAGAAAAAUUGCUAGUCUAUGAGGUAAAUUGCAGUAAAUAAAGUAUAGAGAAACAAAUUUAUUUCUUCUCUAAAAGUUUCAAGAUAAGAUAAUUCAAAGUCCAGUAUCGUGUUUUUAAGUCUUUUUGCAAAUAACUUUAACAAGAAAUUAUAUAUUUAAUAGAAAAAUGAAUGUUUUCUUGUCUUCCAAAAAUAUGUAUGGUACUUCUAAUUUUAUGACUGAAACAUAUCUCAAAAUCUUUUCCCUUUUGAAAAUAUAAAAUAUAAGUAAAUAAAUCCAUUCCUCUCUUUUUUUCAUUCCCCCCCCCCCCCAAAAUGUACUAGUUUUAUUGGUAAACCCUCACUUGUGGUGGAGGAAGACCGUGGUUACAAUAUAUUACUAAAAGCGAAAAGAGGGCAAAUCCAUUCCUCUCUUUAAUCAUCGUAAACUUUUAUACAAUGUGAAUUAUUAUUAAAAAAAAAAAAAAAAAGUACUCACAUUUUUGAAUUUUUCAUUACGUAGUUAUGUUCUUAGGCUCUGAAUUAAAUAGAACAACAUAAAUUCUUAGAUAUGGAUAGAUAAAGCAAACUAUCACCCUAAUUUUUUUGUUAAUAAAUAUGAUAACAAUUUUCAUAAAAUAAUUUUUUCAACUCCAUUCUCGUACAAUAAUUCAAUACAAAACUAAGAUCCUCCUCUAAACAACCACACAACACACACCGCAUAUACUGUAUCAAGCCAAAGCGAAGAAGCUUUGUCUAUGUAUAGAGGCCACCUUGAAUUGCCAACCAAAGAAUAAAUACAUGAUGGAGAAUACAUUUAGGGAACCAUACAAAACUAAAGUCGUUCGUGAUUUUUUUAGUUCGCGCAUUCCAUCACCGACACCAACGGAUCAUAAAUGCAGGAUGGACCUACCAGUAGGUUUGCAACACAUGUAUGUGUAUUAAUCCAUAGUUGGCUGCCCAUAUUGACCAAAGCAGGUUAGCAAUGGCUCGGACUACACGGAGUUUUUAUUUAAUCUUGGUUCUAUUUGUUUCUCUUUGUUUAAGUCAACCCAAAAAAGUUAAAUUUUAUUGGGUUUUGAUUUUCUAAAAUAAUUUAUAGUCACAAAUAUUAUAUAUAUUUAGGGAACAAUAAAUUUCGAGACGAGUUUACUCAUACAGUGAUAGGAUGAACAAAGUUGUAGAUGUAAAAGUCUAAGAUGACAAAAAGAUUAUUUUCACAAUUAAUUAAUUAUUGAAUAUUUUGAGACUAAGUAAUUACAGAAAUUUGAGAACGAAAGGUUGAGAUUUAAAGCAAAAUGGACCAAGUUUAAUAUUUGUUGACUGUUUUUAGUCAACCCCCACAUGCCAAAUUGCAAGACUAUCAUCUUUUAUUGCCUAAAGGGAACUUUUUAAUUGCUUUAUGUGACCUUUGGGGCACUGACUUACCAUUUGAAUAGUUCUAAUUCCAAGGUUUGGAUUCACACUGCACUGGGGAAGCUCUUUUUGUUGGGAGAUACUCCACGAAAAAUUGAACAAAAAGUCGUCGUCGAAUUGACCUACUUUUUGCGCGUAUGAAUUGAAGUCUUUUGAGAAUUGUAAAUAUGGGCUGAAAAAUGAAUGCUUUCUCAACAGAAGGACAAAAUGCAAAAAUCCUCUUUUUUUCUUUAACAUAACUUAACUGAAGUUUUUUUCCGAGUAUUAAGUUGAGCCAAAGUCGACACAUAUGGAAAAACCAUAAAAGAAAACUCUUUUUGUGGCAUAUACAAAUCCAUGCAACUCAAUUUAACAAGCAUAACAAAUUGAAUGUCUGCAAAAUUGACAUGGAAUUGGUCAAUUUAUAGGUAGAGAGGCAUCGAUAACAAAUUUUUACUCCAAUAGUUACAAAUAGUUCUUAAUAUUGGAUCUUUUUGAAUAACACAACGAACAUGAUUUUAACUUUUUUAUACUCUCGAGUACUAUCCAAUUGACGUCACUAAAUAUGUCAUAAGUGUACAAGACACGAUAUGUUCAUUGUUACGUUUUAUAAUUUUCUUUUAGAAGCAAUAAUAUUUUAUAAUCCUAUACCUCUUUUACACUUUUAUUCUCCCAUUAAACACGUAAAUUAAUGGUUUUUGUGGUGGUUUUCACGUUAAAAGACAAAUAUUUCUUCAAACUCAAAUAAAGAAAAAUGAAAAGGAAAACAAGGAAAUAAAGGAAAAAUAAUUAACCAAAAUAGAACCACCCCCACCCUGCAACUCACCCUAAACCCACAAUAGCCACCAUUUAUAAUUAUUCGUUUGAAAUGUGGUUGAUGUACCCAAAAUUAUAUCCUUAUGAACUAAAUAUGAAAUUUUCGAUGUUAGUUUUAGUUAAUUUGCUUAAGGUAAACUAUAAGAAUAUAAAUUGAUAUAUUAUAUGCAGAACUAGUUGACAUAGUUUAAAUUUGAAGCAUAUAACUACAGAAAAUGACCAAAACUGAUAUUAGGAUAAUCUUUUAAAAUAUUGUAAUGGUUAACGCAUUAGACUAACUUAAAAUAUUUUCGUCGUUUAAUUAUAAAUUAUGAUGGUAUGUAGUUAAUGUUUCAAUGAAAUAACAUGCAGUAAUUUUAGCUAAAGAUUACUUGAUGUGAAAAGCAAAAUAAUUAUAUUUAAUAUCUUAUUUUAGUUUAUGAAUUAAUAAUAAAAAGAAAUUUAUUGAUAAGUUUGCAUUUAUUAAUAGUUAAAUAGGUAUUAUUAUACAUCUAGUUCUUGUGAAGUCCACAUAUGAGGUAACUAGGAAGUAGACGCCAUGUAGGCUAUUGUCCUCUACCAUGUGGAGGUCUAUCUUGAUCCUACUCGUUUCGCUUGGUCCGUUUGAUUGUAUGAUUCUAAAUAUCUAUUCAAAAUCCUACACGAUCAAAAGAAGAUUCGGAAAAAUAAUCGUCGAAUAGGUAAUUCUUUUUUAAAGAAACAAUAUCACAAUUAUGACUACUCGACAAAUGACUGUACAACAUGUACUAUUGACCUAAUUUAACCUAAACUCAUCUAUAAAUACAUUCGCUUUGUUCAACGAAAAGAUACACAACAUCGAACUCUAGCCAAAGUUCCGUACAUUUGUCUCUUUCAUAGAAAUUUUUUUCCUCUAAUAUUUUUUGACAAUUGACUUGCUUGUCUGAAUGUAAAUGGUAACCAAAUGUUCGAGUAGGUAGGCAACACGCUCUUAGAGUGAGGCAACAAGGGGAUAUUAAAAACUUUUCAAUCGUUUAAUAUGUAUAUUCAAAGAAUUGUGAAUGCACAAAGUUUAUUUGAUGUUUUAUACUCACUCCAAUGUAAAAUGCUAUGGAGAGUUAUAUAUAUAGUUUUAAUAUGUAUAUUCAAAGAAUUGUGAAUGCACAAAGUUUAUUUGAUGUUUUAUACUCACUCCAAUGUAAAAUGCUAUGGAGAGUUUUGACAAGUGACUCUUUAUGGGCUGCAUUCAUAAGGCAGAAAUAUUUGACUGUAAAUUUUAACAUUAACUCUUACUCACCUGGACUUGGUUCAUCCCCAUGUUGGCAUAAUUUAAGUAAACAUUUUCCUUUCAUUCAUGACCACAGCAGGUGGAUGAUCGGCCAAGGAAAAAUCUCAUUUUGGUAUGCAAACUGGACAGGUUUUGGCUCUUUAUAUGACCAAGGCUGGAUUGCUAAUGAACCAAGGUUACAGUUGAAAGAUGUUUGUGCAAAGGAUGCUUGGAAUACUGAUCUUAUUCAUAAGCUGGGAGGUGACAAUUUGAUGGCUUACAUUCAUACUUUAGCUAUCUGCUUGAAGCAAGUGCCAGACAAGCUAAUUUGGUGUCCGACUCCAACAGGAGAGUUCUCUACUAAUAAGGCUUGGAAUCUUUUACGUGAUACCAAGGACAAACUUCAUCUCUUCAAAUUGAUUUGGAAUAAAUUGCUCCCGGUAAAAAUCUCAAUCUUCUUCUGGUGUGUUUGGUUUGGUAUAUUACCAGCGGAUAGUGUUAUUAGAAGUCGUGGUGUCCCAUUAGUAUCAAAACGUUACUGUUGUUCUCAUACAAAAGUGGAGGACGUUGAGCACCUAUUUCAUACUAGCGAAGCAGCGACUCAUGUUUGGACUCAUUUUGCCAACAUCUUUGGAGCUCGAAGUGUUUUUGCUAGUUCAUGGCGUGCCAUACUUAUUAAUUGGUUGUACCAAUUUGAUGGUUCUUCGCAAUUUCAUCAACUUGCUCUUUUGACCCCUGCGCUAAUUGCUUAGGAGCUUUGGUUUGCACACAAUGAGGCUAGAUUUAAUGAGGGUUUGGUCAAUGGACAUAAAAUUUGCUCCAAAGUGAAACACUGGUUGGUUGAAUUAAAUUCAUUACUGCAACCAUCACGUGCUACUCCCUCUCAUCUUCAUGCUACUCUCCAUUGUCUUGGUAUGGCUCCAACGCCUUUGACAACUAAGGCUCCUCUCCUUGUUCGUUGGUAUCGUCUCCCUUGUGAUAUUCUUAAACUUAACAUUGAUGGUGCUAGCUGUGGCAAUCGUAUUAGAGCUGGUUGUGGUGGGAUGCUUAGGGAUUGGAAAGGAAAAUUUGUUUUUGGCUUUUCCCACUCUCUUGGGGUAGCCACUAACCCAUGGCGGAAACAAUGGCUUUGAAAUUGGGUUUGUAUUAUUGCUAUCUUUUGGGGGUUUCAAAGGUAUGGGUUGAAACUGAUACCCAAAUGGUUUGUCAUUGGUUUAAUGGGAUGGGAAAUAUUCCUUGGUCUCUUCAGCAAGUUUGGGAUGACAUCGUUGAUCUGGCAGACCUCAUCGAUUUAAAUGUCACCCAUGUCUAUGGAGAGGCAAAUUCAGUUGCUGACUCUUUGGCUAAGUUGGGUACAGAUGGACGCUCUUAAUUUUCUUACUAUAUUAGAGACUUCCCCAAGCUACAAAAGGUUGUUUCGUAUUAGACUAUAGUGGUUGUCUUUCCUUUCGUAUUCAUUGAUUGUAUUGUCUUGAGUUUUAUCAUUAUUGCUAUUUGUAACCACGGUCUGCCUCCGCCAUAAGUGCAGGCUUAUUAAUAAAAGUUACAUUUGUUUAAAAAAAAAUUAACUAAUUAUUAAAGAAUAAGGAAAAAUAUAGAAUUUCUUCGCAAGAACAUUUUAGGUAUGUCAACGUCAUUUUAGAAGAGAUAUGAUUCAAAAAAGUGAUGAGAGGAUGAAUAUAAUAUUGAAAAGUAGAAAUGUGGUAGGUUAGUGUAAUUUACUAAGUGCGCGGGAUAUUUUUAAUUUUGCCUCUAUACUUUUUUCCAACUAUUUUUAUUCUUUUAAGUUGUACAUGGAAUAUUUUGUCAUUUACACUGAUUUAAUGGUAUUUCACACGAGACGUUACUAGAAACUAUUUGAGCCAGGAAAUGAAAAUUCGAGGAAUUUAAUGCCACACACAAAAAAAUAAAUAAAUAAAUAAAUAAAGGAAAAAUGACGUUGAAUUUUAAAGUACAAAGAAGGUAUAAGUUGGAAGCAACAACUACAAAUUAUCCAGAAAUAAAAGUUGAAUAACGUAUACAUUUUUACUCAUAGGAGAUAAUGGAGUGCAUUUCUUAGAAAGCAUAAUUUAUUUUUACAUAUUUCAUAAAAUUCAUAAUUCUUGCAUUGACCUAAAUUGAUAAUUUAGCGUGGUUCAUAAUUUGAAUCUAUCUUUUUUUUUCUUUUUUUUUUUUUUUGAAUGUUGGUGGGAGAACAUAAAUUUAUGGGGAAUACCAUGGUGAAUUUAUGAAUAUUAUUUCACAAUAACUUUAAGGGGUACAAGGCACACCAGCUAAUUUACUACAUAAACCGUAUCAGGAUCCCUUCUACAUUCUUCAUAUAUUUCAAUAUAAUAUGGACCAAAUUACGGUAGUUAGGUCAUCUCCAAUCCAUGACAUCAAUUGGUACAACUUUCAUACCAUUUUGUAAAGUUACUUUCAAUCCAUUAUAUCAAAUGCUACACCAAAUGAAUAAUGUUUCAUUUAUUUCCUUAUCUUUUAAUUGUCAAAAAUUAAUUUAUUUCAAGAAUUAUUUAAUAUAAAUUACAGUCUACUGAAAUACUAGAUUAAAAGUUACAUUUAAUAACUAAAAUAUUAAGUUUAUUAAUAAAUAUAAAAGGCUUCACACUUAAUCCGUCAAUUAAAAAAUUAUGACACUUAACACACAAAAUAAAAUUUUUACAUAUAAUAAAAAAACUACAUUAUAAUAAUAAUAAUCAAAUUAAAAUAAAUAAAAUUAAUGUUAAAUCAUUAAGGAUAAAAUUUGUUGUAGUACAAAAUGAAGAGGAAAAUGCGAAUUAUGAAAAACUCUAAAAUUCAUACUAAAUGAAUAGUGUUGCAGCAAAUUUAGUGCAACGUUGUUAAUUGUACCAAUUUGAUGUAAAGAUUUAAGAAUAUUGCUAUUUGUACGUAAUGAUAUUAUACAAUGAUUUACAUAUAGAUGAAGUGUCAAAAAGAGAUUGUGGAAGAUUCCCUUUUUUUUUUUUUUUAAAUUGAAGAAAUUUUGAACCAAUUAUAUCAACUACAUCAUAUAAUGUAAACCAUUUACAUAAAUUAUUAUGUACACAUAUAGCACAACCGAAAAUUUAAUAUUAGGUUUGAGUGAUUUUUGCGAGCUGUAACUGUAGUAUUCUAGACAAGACAAGUGACGAGGCUUUGCUGCACCAAGUCUUUGAAAGUGUUCAAUUAUUUAAUGGAUAAAUAUUUCCAGUUUACUUCGUAACUAAAUCAGCUAAUAAUUAUUUUUAUAAAAAAACCAGAAGAUUUCUAUUUUAAAUUCAUGAAGUGUGAACAUGUAAAGAUUGAAUCAUAUUCACACGCCUAUUUUUUUUUUAAAAAAGGUGCUUUUAUUUGUAUUUACUUUAUAUUUUUAGUACGAUGCAAUUCUUUUAGCUUAAUUAAUCCGUAAGCAUCAAUUAAAUUUAUCAAAAAUGUCAAAACUUUUUAAGGAGAAGACGUCUUCGAGAUGAGGAUUCAGGCUCCGUUAUUAUUUAAAAACUAAAAGUAAUAGAGAAGUCUAAUAUUAAAAAAAGAAUUUAAAAAGAUAAGGAAAAAACACAAUAAUCUUUCCAACGUGGCUGCCCUCACACCACCACCACCAUAAUCCCUCAUCGACCAUUAAUAUUGAUCGAAGAAAUUCACAAGUGCACGAUAUCGUAGAUAAAUAAUAUAAUAAGAAGUAAAAUAUCGUCUUGCAAAGAUAUGUACUUAAUCUAGUUUUGAUUAAUAUGUAUUCAAUUUGAUUAAUAUGAAUUCUAAUUGAAUAGCCAAGUUUUGAUGAUGAAUUUCUAUAACUAAUUAACUAACUAAUCUAAUUGAUGAGCAAUUAUUAAAGCUUUGUUAAACCGGUUUAUAUACGAUCAAAGAUUUUGAAUCCCCAUUUAUUAUUUCAUUUUAUUACAAAGAUCAUGACAAUAGUUAUUUAUUCUUGUUGAUUAAUGUUCCUAUUUCUUUCAUAAUUAAUCUCUUUCGAGUAGACUCAAAUAUAUUCUCAAAUUUGACCCUCAUAUAUCUAUAUGAAAGAUGCGAAUAUGAAAGAAUAUAUUAAAAAUAUUAGAACAACUAUCAAAAUCAUGCAAGGAUAGAAUUAUAUCUCUAUAUUUUAUCGGACCUCACAAGAUUUGUUAUUUGUUGCUAUCUUUCCUAUUAUUUCUCUUGGAUAUAAUAAAAACCACUCAUCAAUCCAAUUAAUGAUCAAUUAAUUGAAAAGCAUUGAAUAUAACAAUUUUUCAAGCUAAACAAAUACUUAACAUCAAAAUAUUGAAAUUAAAUUAAAAUUUCAUAAUAAACUAUUUAUUUAUAUCUUAGCAACUAAAAGUUUAGCCUAACAUUACAGUAUUACAAGAAAUCAUAAAGGAAUAAUCAAACAUCACCCGAAUUCGAAAUAUAUGAAGAAAGAAAAGAGAAGUCACGAAAUUUUGAAUUUCUUCAAUCUUGAUAUGUUGCCUCUUGACUUACCACAAAAGAAUGAUAUUUUUACCUCUCUUGAUUGCAAGAAUUUGUAUAGUGUAUGGUAUGAGAGGUGUCUUUAGUUAAUGGAUGAAGAUUUGUAUUUAAAAGCCAAAAUUAGGUCAAAAUCCGUGUUGAAAUUCGUUGAAUCAUCCAAGGAAAGAGUCUCGCCUAGCUAGACUACAGCCAUGUGAUCGCAAUACAUAAAUAUGUGCAAUCGCAUCGUUAAGCACUUCUAUCAUCUGCUUUUGCCAAAUAGAGCAUUGGGAUCAUAUCACCUUGUUUCAUGCAAUCGCGCCCCUAUAAGUUUAUUAACUUCUCAAUUUGAUCCCGAACUCUUUAUUCAAUCUUAAUCCUUUUUUAAUGUAAGUUUAGUCCUUCAUCUUUUAAUUUUAUUCAAUUUGAUCUCUAUAAUCUGUAGACGCCAUUCUUUGGUUCGAAAUAACUUUUAUACAUUAGUUAGUUCCCAAACUUUAUAAUUCUUCCUUUUUCAUCCUUCUUUGAUCGAUUUUCGCUUUUUUUUUUUUUUUAUCUGAAAUUGGAUGGUAUGACAACCACCUAUAAUGACCAACAAAAACAAGACACAUCACAAUUUGCCUGGACCGUAGACCCAAGUGAGCACUUUAUGUACAUGCCUGACCAUCGAAUCCCAUGAGCGCUCUACGUCCAUGCCCGACCGUUGACCCCAUAAGCGCUUUACGUCCAUGCUCAACCGCCGAUUCCUUUGAGCACUCUGCAUGCAUGCCCGACCAUCGACCUCCAUGAGUGCUUUACGUCUAUGCUAGGCUGUUGACUCCUAUGGGAUCAUCUAACACUAUGCAGCUGAUCAAACACUUAGCCAUAAAAUCGUCAGUAGAUUGGAUGAAGAUCACUUGACGAUGGUCACAGACGCAACCAAUUGUUAGAUAGUUGGAGGAUCCCCACUCAAAACGUGGGGUAGUAGAAGAGGCUAUGUGGGACAUGUAGCACCGUAACCGCCCAACAUUCCCAUGGUUUCAAUCAUCUAUAAAUACACCUAAUGGGAAACAUGUAUGGAAAGAGAAAAACUUUUGCUAUCUGAAUUCCAUUUUUGCUUUCCGUGAUACCGUAUAUUGAUUCUCACACCAAAGAUAAAAUGGGGGAGAAAGUCUCGCCCUCACUUUUCUAGUAACAUUGGUUCAUCGGGGUAGUAGAAACACCUUGUGCCGCCAGAAGGGCACAAAGGUAUUAUUUCACAACUACUUCAUUAUAUUUUUUUCAUCAAAUACAUUCCAAAUUUGAGUUUAUCUUGUAACAAUCGAUACUUAACUAAAUUAAAUAGUAAUCUCAUCAAAUUGACUCCCAAAUAUUCACUUUUAAUGGCUUGAAUAAGUGUAAAAAUGACACCUAUCAAACAUUACCAUCAAACAAAUGUUUAAAACCCAGCCAAGCCCAAGAACCUUUGAGGUCUAGCAAGCCUAAUUGACCGGAUUAGUUUUGCACCGAUAAAAAUUCUGAUAAACCGAUGGAUUAUUUAAAUUCAAUUCACAUUAAACUGGUCGAGGCUAAUAUAAGAUAGUAAAUCUCUGAUUUUAAAAAUUAGCGUUUAGCAAAAUUCAAACCCUUGAUCAUUGCUGAAGGAUAGAGCCAAUAUACCAAUAUAAAUCACCAUUUUAAGUAAAAUAACUAUUUGAUUUGCCCCAAAUUUGUGAAAUAGAAGAGUUCUAUUAAGAUUCUUGCUCGAAAAAAGAGAAAGUUGCCAUAUUUAUUACAAAUCUUUCUCCUGUUAAUGCCUUCACAUGUUGACAAGAAAUAGGAUUUAGUUGCUAGUUUGUUGAUUUCAUAUGUAAUUAAGAAAAGGAAAGCAAUUACCGAUAAAAAUAAAAUAAAAAAUAAAAGAAAAGAAAAGGAGAGUGAUUUUUCUAUAAAUACCGCCUCAAGGCUUCAAUUGUGACAUGUGCUUAGCCCUAAGAUGACGAGAAUUACAUGCACCAAAAUUAAGAGUUUAGAGGGAGAAAAUUGGUGGAGAGAGUGAGAAAAAGUAAGAAGAAAUUGCAUCGUACCGUGAGCAUUCCAGUUAAUUGACCGGAGAGGUUGUGAGAGAGAAAAAAACAUGUAUUCUUUUCAUGUGGUCGACGGUGAUUUGCCAAACCAUAUUAAUUGCUUUUCUCUCUUUAUGGCUUAUUUUGUUUUUUAUUUUCGCGAUGUUUGAUAGAACUAGUCGAAAGUAAACGUGCGUUGCACGUUGUUCUGAAUUGCUUUAUAAGUAUCGAAACAAUAAUAUUUGAAGAUGCCUUAAUUUGAGAGAUAGUUGUAAAAAAAUGAAGAUGUGAAAUGAAUUUUUUAUUUAAUGAGAAUUUCUUUGGGCACUAUAUUUUUUAUAUGAUUAGGGAUAUCCGACUUAACCAAAACCUUUGUAGUUGCCAUAGAAAUUCUUCUCAAAAGUGCAAUGGAUAACUAUCCAUGUGAGAAUACUUGUUGUCGAAGAUAUACUCCGACGUGAGGUAUUGUCUGUCCUUGGGCAUUGUUGAUUGUCAUUGCAAAAUAGAGACGUACAUUAAACUAUUUCCGUAUAAAUUUGAAUGGAUAUCUUUCAUCAUUUGCAGGACUUAAUUGUAUAUGCGGAAUGAAUACGUGUUUGCUAGAGUAUUGUCUAGUAGUUAUCUUUGCAUGUAUAAUAUGAAUACUGAAUUGACGACAAACCAUCUUACUCCCAUUGCAGAGACCAUUUGAAGGAUUUGGGUUUCUCAAAAGCAUUAUUGGACAAUUUAUUCUCAACACUAAUCGAUGAGGUGGAACUAUGUUUGGAAGUAAUAUGAUGAGAAACUCUAGUUGAUAGUAAUUAUUUGUGUCAUCUACUGCUACAUCAUAACUAAGGAACUCUUUAGUUUCACUUAGGGAAAGAUCAAUAACUUUUUCAUUUAUGAGAUCAACGUUUUCAUUUGUAGUGGAUAGAAUUGCUCUUUGUGUUAUAUAUUCCGAUGAUUCUACAUUAUUGGUAGUUCUAAGAAGACAUAGUUGAUUAAAUUGAGCUCUGUGGAGUUGUUGUUAGAAGAAAGUACUAUGUCUUUUGGAAGUGAGAUGAAGUCUUCUCCUGCAGUUUGUUCUAUUCCAUUGCCGACUUUGAUCAAGUAUUUCGUGAAUUGAUGAUCAUUUUGUGCUCUCAUAUUAUGUGUCAAAUGUAGUUUAUGCAUUUUUUCCCAAAGAUACGAUCAUACCAUACUUUCGUUAACUAUUUGUUGUCCUGUUGCUCAUGGGACAACUGGAAGAGCCUGGUGAAAAUAUCUCCCAAAUACCAUUGCUUUAUUCCCAAAUGGUUCAAAAUUGUUCAUGAUAUCUUGAAAAGUCUGUCAACUGCCUCAAUUGUUGCUCUCUUGCCAUUGGAGCUUCAUCCCAUAUAAUGAGUGCUGCUUGUCGAAUAAGUUUGGCUCGACCGCUUUGCUUUGAUUUAUGACAUAUCGAUGAUUCAUUUGUUUGCAACAGAAUGUUGAAUCUCGAAUGAGCUAUUCACCCUCCAGGCAUUAUUGAAGCAGCCACUCUAGAAGUUGCAAUUGCAAGUGCUAUACCCAGCAAUCUUAUUUCAGCAAGUAACGCACGAUAUAUAAUUGUUUUACUAGUUCCUUCUAGUCCAUCAACAAAGAAAACCCCACAUUUUUUUAUUGUUUACUUUAUCAAAUAUGAGAUCAUAGGCUUGUCUUUGAUCAUGAUUUAGAUAAUGUGAUGCUUGUGUUUGGUAUUUCAAUUGAUAUUUCAUCUAAUAUGUCCUUUGUACUGAGAGAAUGUGUAUCCGUGGAGACAUUUCUUAGUUGAAGCAAGUCAUAUGCAUUGAUGUUUUCCCCUAUGGACUGAAGGAAUUAUUGAAUAUCAUGAAGUGUAUACUGAAGUUGUAAUUGUAAAAAAUAUUGAUCUUGUUUUCUGAAAUCUUCAAGCAUAUAUUCAAAGUAAAGAUCCCAUAAAUUUCUAAAAUUAUUAGGUUCACAAUAAAUCAACAAUGUAGUAAAGAAUCUUCUAAAUGCUCGAGGCAUGUGAAAGGCGACUGCUUCAUCUAAGCAUUCAAUGAUACUUCGAUCGGACUCAAGAAGACCUCUUUUUUGGUUUGUUUCUUUAAAAGUCCAAAAUUGACUCCCAUUAACAUUCAUGAGGUCCUCAAAAGACUUAGGUCCCCUUACACGAUUUAGUAAUAAACAAAGAUAAUAUCAUUUCUCUUCAGUUGGAUUUGCUUCUGCAAUGCAUGAUAUCACUUUUUCCUUUUUCCUCUUUGUCCAUACAUGGGCCUGCCUAUUCCAUACGUAGUGUUUUGAAAAUUCUCGAUAUAAGAUCUCAUUGCAUCUUCGUUGUUGUUACACAUUUUGAAAUAUUCAGUCAACAUUGUCCUUGAUAUAUGAUCGAAUUGGAUAACCCUAUUCAGAUCUUGGGUUUCCCAAUAUGAUACCGUUUGUUGAUUAGGGAGGUGAAGUUGUAAGUUGAUGAUAGCAGGUGACAUUUCAUUCAAUUGGAAUUCAUAAAUUCUCCAUAAAGAUUCUUGUGCAGAUACCCAAUGUGAAUCUUGGAAUUCUCGUAUUUCAUUUAUUAUCCUAUUUUCAUCAUCAUGAGAUAUAUAGAUAGCUGCUCUGUCAUGCCCUUUUUAGAUAUAUAAGUAUUUAACAACUUUCAAACCGGAACAAAUCUCUACAUUAAUAUGGCAAUUAUAUCAUAGAAGCAUAUGGGUACAUGAACUGAAGUUUUUAUUUUUUCUAAUUAUGUGGAUUUACGUGAGAUAUUUGGUUAUGAAAAUGAAAAAAUAAUGCUGCUGUAUAUCACAUUUGUAAUUGCACAUAUAUUCAAUGUAGGUAAAUGUAUUCAAUAUAUGAUUAUGAUUAUGUGUGCAUGCAUGCAUUUGUGUUAAUGUUUCAGUAUAUUUUCUGGAUAAGAAAUGGAUUACAUGAACUUAAAUAAUUUAUUAUAGCUCUGAAAUAUAUAAAGUGUAUAUGAACUUGAAGACUUGAUGUGAAAUUUAAUAUAUCUAUAAAUUAAUUAAUUAAUUAAUGUUUAUUAUUAUACAUAUAAUUGAAUUGUUGUACUUCUAUAGUAAUUGAAUAGCCUCAAGUUAUACACCAUUUUGUCUAAAUAAUUUUUCCAAGAUCAAAUCUAUUUAUUGAAUGUAUAAUUCUGUGCAUGCAUUUAGGUAAAUGUAGUCAUCAUAUAAUUAUCAUUGUACGUGUGCAUGCAUGCAUUUCCGUAAAUUCUCAGGCAUCAUUUUACUCUGGUUUUUUUAUUUUAUUGAUUCAUGCCCAGAAGUUGUAAUAUAAAUCCAGAGUAUAGAAGUUUAGAGAAAGAGGAUUUACUUAUUCUAAAUAGCUUUUCGAAAUGUUGAGAGAGUGAGCUGGUUUUCCUCAGAAUUCUCAUUUUGGAUGGAUUUUAUGGGAAUUGCUUAUUUCAAUAAUAAGUGGAUCAAUUUUGGUUUCACAAGAAGACAACACCAUUAAUGUACAAAAAUUUAUUCCUCAAGUUUAAGAUUAAGAUUAAUCAUUAAUGUGAGGUCUAAAUUAAUUCUCCAAACUACCGUGCAUUUAUUUUAUUUUGUUUUCGAGAAUUAUUCUAUUAAUCUAUGGUUUAAAGUCAUUCUUGAAGUUCAUGAUUACAUUAUUUUGUCUAAGUUAAUUUUCCAAGAUUAUGUGUAUAUAUAUAGCAUGCGUGUCCAGUUUCUUUUGUAAUAAUAAUUGUGAAGAUGAAUAUUAAUUAAAAUGCUUAUCACUUUCAAGAUUAGUCUCUAAUGUGAGAUCUAAAAUAAAUCUCCAAAGUCUCGUUCAUUUAUUUUACUUUUUCCCCACAAUUUUAACGGUACAGCAAUUUUUUUUUUUUUUAAAUAUAACAUAAACUUUCUCAUAUUAAAUUAUAAACAAUAAAAUAAUAGGUGUGUUUUGUGUCGAUGAUUCGAACAAAAAUAAUAAUAUGUGUCUCUUAAAUGAUAAGAUAACAGGUAUGAUUUGAGACGAUGUUUCGAACAAAAAAUACUAAUAUGUGUUUCUCUAAUCUAAAUUAAUAUUCAAUCUUCUAUUUUUAGUUUCUUGCUCGGAUGGCUUCCUUCAUUUAUCUUCUUUGCAUCCACCUUGUAAACUUCUUCGACAAUCAAUUUCUUCCAUGUUCUUUCUUCUCUUUUCUUCACAUCCAUCUUCACCAAGAAUUUGAACUCUAUCUUCCGACGAAAUUAGUUUUUUGUAAUAUUUACACAAUUCCUUUUUGUUGAUCUGAGAAGAAAAUACCAAUAUAUGUUUUUACAAAGAUGGGUUAGUCGCCUAAUUUUAGUUAGAAGCAAUAUAAUAUGUUGAAAACACAAAAUCUAAAUUAUAUUUUUACCUUUAAAAGAGCCUCAGCAUAUUCAAUCACAGUACUAACUAUGAAAGAUUCGGCGGCAUCAAAGAUUGUGAUGUAAACUUCUUGAUUACCAUCUGAAACUAUUAUCGUCAACAAAUACUUUCUAGUAAAUGCUAUGUCCUUAAUUUCACAUAUUGUACAUGUGACAGUUUUUUUAUCUUCCUAUGGGUAAACCAUUGCACCACACCCAUUACAUGUUUCAUACCAUGGAUUGUUCUUGUUUCGAACCUUUAGAAUCUUGCCUAUAAAAGCACAAUACAAUUUAGUCACACUAUUUGUAAUAAUAUCAUCUAAUUUUACGAUACCAACAUCCAUCAUCCUCUUUGUAGAUCCCAAUAGUUUGUACAAUCCUCCACCACAUAGCAGUUUUUUAGUGUUGUGUAAAAAAAAGGACAAAAUAAAUAAUCUUUCAGCUAUAUGACAGACUUAGUAGUAAUGUAAAUAUAAUCAUCAUGACUAAAUAAACCAUGCUCACCUAUAUUUAAUAGCAUUAGUUUCUUCAAGUUGUGGAUUGAUCUCAAUGAUACUAAUAUUUGAAGUGGAGAUGUUUAGUUCAUCUGUUUGAUAUAUGUUAGUUAGAACACAGCAUAUAAAAUAAUUACAAAGUAUCACCUUCACAGUAACUUGCUUUAGAUUGUUGAUUUUAGCAUAUGACUCUUUUUAAUAUGAUAAUAAAAUAAUUACAAAGUAUCACCUUCACAGUAACUUGCUUUAGAUUGUUGAUUUUAGCAUACGGCUCUUUUUAAUAUUUACAAAGUAUCACCUUCACAGUAACUUGCUUUAGAUUGUUGAUUUUAGCAUACGGCUCUUUUUAAUAUGAUAAUAAAAUAAUUACAAAGUAUCACCUUCACAGUAACUUGCUUUCACAUUCAAAGCUGUAAUAAAUAACAUUUCAUAAACAUUUUCUUCCAUAAACUUUCCUUGGUUGUCAGCCAAAUCUCCCCACAAAUAUAAUUUCAUUGUAUUACACCAGUACUAAGAACAAAACUGUUGAGUAAAUAAUAUUACAAAGUUUAUCUUCUUUUUAUUUGAUUAAAAAAAUUGUUUGAUUUUAUGGAUGAUGUUUACCCACUGUCUAGGAGAAUCACUUCCCAUUUCUUCAUUGUUCUUUCACUUGGCCUCUUAACGUUGAUGAUGAAUGCAGGUUUUACUUUGACUACCAAUCCUAUAAUAUCUGGAAACAAAAAGGAAAAAAAAUUCAGAAAGAAUAUAAUUACAAUCAUGAUAUCUCUGCUAGCAAAAUUUGGUACUUCAUUGAAUUGAAGAAAAAAAGUUUGAUAUCUUAUAGCAUAUGCGUUGUUGAAUCUCUUCUACUUUCGUUGUAGUUGUGAAAGACAAUUCGAUUUCAUCAUUCACAUUUCGGUACUUCCCAUUGACAGGUCUUACGUUUCCAUUUCAUCUAAUGUAAGACUUCCCCUUUUCAAUUAUAGCAUUGAGUUUUUGAACUGCAUCAUUGAAUAACAUGGCUUGAAUUUUUUAUCACUAUAGAGAAAUCACUAGUUACUUCUAAUAUACAUGAUUGAAUAAACUCAAACAUGAAUAUACCGCAUAAUCAUUACUCCAUUACCAUCAAAACUAACUUCAAAUAAUCUAGCGUAGCAUAAAUAUUCGGUACAUAUCAAGAGCAAAUAUUUAUUCACUACAAUCUAAGAUGUCAGAUUGGUACCAGAACCAAAGUCAUCAAAUUAGUAAAAUAAAAGUUUUUUUUUCCCUUUUUUUCCUUCCUCUGAUCUCCGCAUCAUCUGAAAUUCUCACUAUCAAUUUUACUAUACAAAUAUAAAAGUAAAAAACAUAAGAUCCUAUAAGAUAAAUUAAAGUAUUCAUGAUAAAGCUAAAGAACAUAAUAUCCUAUAAGAUAAAUUAAAGUAUUCAUGAUAAAGCUAAAGAACAUAAUAUCCUAGAAGAUAAAUUAAAGUAUUCAUGAUAAAGCUAAAGACUUUUAGAAACACGUAAAGAUAUGCAGGAAAUGAAAUAUUUAUGCCAUGUCAGUAUUUGAAUCUCGAAGAUGAAUUCAGAAUUAUUAAAUAUAAGGGUCAUCGUAGUAGAUAUAUCACCUCCUUGUCAAUUAGGAUGAUCUUCAAAAGAUCAAAUUUUCCAAUAUUGUUGGAAUAAGAUUCGACUAAACCCUUUCAAACUACCGUCACUUUAAUGGACCAUUCAUUUUCAUACACCAAUAAAUGUCUUAUAGCCUUUGAUUCCAUGAUGGGGGAGAGCAAAAUAUUUGAUGAUUUGAUUGAAAUAUAGCAACAACCAAUUUGUGAAAAUAAUUUUAAUAGUUGAGAGAUUAGUUUAUUUAUGUCUAAUACUCAUGAUAACAAUCAAAUUCAUUCAUGAAUAUGAAAUCUAAUUAAUUUCAAAUGAUGCUGCUAUGACUGGCACAUAUUAUACAAUGUAUGAUUAUCACUUUAUGUGUGCAUGCAUGCAUUUAGGUAAAUGUAUUCAACAUAUAAUUACCACUAUAUGUGUCCAUGCACGCAUUUACGUAGACGCUCUAGUAAGAAUUGGAUAUACAAUGUAUAAUUAUCACUUUAUCUUUCAAUUUCUAAAUCUUUAACUGAGUGUCAUAGGACUCCUUGGCUUCUGAAAUCAUCAACCUAGCAACCUUGAAUUUAUCCUUGACCUCCUUUUCAAAUAGCCUCAACACGUCAUCAUAAUUAUUAUACAUGCAUGUAAAUAAAUAAUUGAAUCGUAAUAGGGCAUGUAAGUAGUAGUGCUAGAAUUGUCUAAAAAAUAAUUCUCCCUUCAUGUGAUAUUUAGUAUAUUAUAGAUUUUUGUCCCCAACAACUUGCAUAAUAGUUAUGUAGGGAAUCAUCAAUUUUGCUAAAUCAAUUAUAUGAUUUACUUUUGUUUCAGUUGAGAAGAAAACCGGGAAAUUUUUCUUUCAGGUGAAAAGAAAAAUCAAAUAGAAAAUAUUUCGUUUACGUAGAAGAAAUAAAUGGGGAUAAUUUCUUACCGUACUUGUUGGUCCCAAUUGAUCUUUCAACAAUUAAUUUUAACCACAAAUUUCAUAAGAUCCACAAUUUUUUCAACCACAUUUCAUCAAUUUUUAUCAACAUCUACUAAAAUACACCAAACAAGGGCUUAGUUCGUUCGUAAUAUUAUUGUCCAAUGAGAAAAAGUUCUUCAACAAUUUGACGUGUAAAUCGACAUUGAAUACAUGUAAUACAACCGACAGCACAUUAUAAGUAUGUUACAUUGUCGAUAUAAAAAUCAUCAACCAAGUUAAAAUUGUAUGUUAUUUCGGUAAUAAGUACCAAAACAAGGCAAGGUGUUCGCAGAGCAUAGAAUUUAGUUAAAUGGAACAUCAAAUCACCUACAUUUUUCUUGCCCAAAAGGAAACAAUGCGCUUGUAAAUAAUUUACAGACCUUUCACAAUUAACCAUAUAAGCUAUGCGUUGACUAUUUUAGCUUUACACAUUCUCUUUCUUUCCGGUCUAUUCUUGCUUUCAAAAGUAAAACGUAAUAUCUGCGAGAAAUACAAAAUUGCAGAUUUAUAGGGUAAAAAUCAAAAGAAUGUCUCUUAACUCCCACUAGACGGCCUACUGCAGCAUAUACUCGCUCGCUGAUGCACUGCAACUUGUAUAGGACAAGUUCAAAUCCGAUCCCUACAGAAGAUAGCUUUUAGAAGCCCAAUGCUUAAACUCACGCGAUGAACUCACCAUUGAAGAUGCAAAGAGAUAAGAAGAACAUCACUUUCGCUUAUUACUCAAGGUAAGUUACUGGGUUUAAAACAAAUUCACAACGAGUGAAGAUGAAGCUGAAUCCAUGAGUAGUAGUAGUAGUACAAUAUGAGAAGUUUCAUACUUCUUGACAUUUUAUUUCAAGCUCCACUGGUACAUUUUUUAGCACGGGACACGUAUCCGAAUUGAUAUCAUAUAAAAUCCUCAAAAGCUUAAAAUUAUUGGGCAGAUUAGCUCUUUCACAACUCAUAAUGUCUCAAAUUUGUAUGUUUACGAGAAUUGAUAAAUACCCUUUGAUGUAUCAGUGUUGGUUAUUCACCGUCUGUUUCUAUGGCAUGUAACAAUCAAAUAAUUAUAAUAACUAUUGAGUCUUUUUCACAAAACAAGGGAUAGUUAAAGAUUGGAGAACUUUUCUAUCAUUGUCCAUAAAUUAAGGAUAUCAAACCAAUUAUAUGCUCCUAUAAAACAAAACAAAACCAAAAAAAAAAAAAAGAGAGUAAGUAAUGUUCUCUUCUCUUUACACUAAUAGCAGUACAGGACUCGUGAUUGUCUUCCUGAUCAUUCGGCAUCAAGAUGAUGGAAUUCAAUUAUAGCACCGGAGUUUACCAACCCCAGGAUAAAUUAAAUAAGUUGUUAGAAUUCCAACAAGAGAUAGGAGUUGCAUCAACUUUGGAAGAAAUUAUGUACAAUCGAGAUAACUAUGCAACGUGUGCAUGCCACCACGAGUGAUGCUUAAUGAAAAGCUGCAGGAGUACAAUUUGAAUUUAGAUGGCCUACAAAGAAACAGCUGCAGGGCUUCCAUCCAAACAAGCAAAUUUAGUCUUGAGGGUUUUAAGAUACAAGCAUUAUUUUGCAACCACCUAUUUAUGUUUAAAUAAAUAGUGUAUUUGACAAUUACUCUCCCUGUCCCAUGCUAUUCUUCUAGAUCACUAUUUCAAUUUUUCCUAAAAGUUAUUUUGGUUACUAAAUUGAGAUUCUAGAUUCUGAUUAUACACCUUGUCAUGUUAUAGUGGGAUAAGGCUUAACUGAAGAUAAGAAAUAAACUACCCACUGCAAUAUUAAAUGGAAGUUCAACUUGGGGCAGACUUGAAUCGUCAAAAUUGACUUCUCUUCAGAAUUUGACCACUUCUACGCUCAUAUACUUAGACCCACUCAUACACAAGCUAAGGUUAAUAGGGGUAAAAGAUUUCAUGCAAUCAGAUUUCAUAACUUUUGACAGCACAAGAGGGCCAAUAAAUAAUUUAAUAAGCAUAAUUCUAAGACCACAUAUGUAUAGUGAUAAAAAAUUACUUAAAAGCUAUUUAUUAUACUUAAAAGCUAAACCUGACUAGUCAGAAAUAUUGAGUAAAUUUGUAAUAGUUCAACCUACGAGUUUGUAUAGGUCAUUUAACUCUUUUCUCUUGACAUAUUUGCCCUCAACCUUAAGUUUGAAGAACUUCUAGAAGCAUGGUGUCUUCAUCCUAUCAAACUUUUUAGCUCCGUAAUCGGCAAUCUGAAGCAAGUAAAUGAUUUUCAUCUAUUUGACCUUUGCAAUAAUAUAUGCGACUAUUUGUUAAAAGAGGUCAUUACCUAAUUUUGGAACCGCCGAAGAGCAAAUUUGAUAGAUAAUAUUAAAUAGUAUAGCAUACCAAUUUAUUUUUUUAUUUUUUAUUUUUAUUUUCAAUAUUAAUAAUUACUCUACUGAAUAGGCGAAUACGGUCAUUGCUUCCAAACAAUUCAUAAUUCUUCACCCAUUUAUAUGGAGGAAAGAUCGAAUCAUAAAAUCAUGAUUUUAUAACCAUGGCCAAAAAGUGAUCUACUAUUGUAACUUGAGGGGAUGAUACUUACAACCCUAAUUCUUAGCUAGAUUUAGGAUGUAAAGUGGGACGAGCAAAGCUAGAUUUUUCACGUGUGAGUCACUCGUCGGCUCUAACAAGAGCCGGGAAACAAAACAUUAAAACUGUGCAAGCAUUAACAUUCCUAGCUAGAUUCCAGUUCUCUAUAGGAUGAAGGAUGGGCCCUUUUUCGCUUCUUCAUGCUUUUCAUAAUUAUCUAUGUAUUGAACUUUAAUGAUUUAUAAUUAUAGCAUUUAUUAAAUGUAUAUAACUAUUUGUGAUAUAACAUGAUUUCUUUUAUUGCAAAUAGAAAUCACCACAAACUCCAAAAGCUCAAUUAAUUAAAGAUCUAGUACAUGAAUAUUUUUUUUGCUUUUUGUUAGAUUAACUACUAUUUAUACCUUGAACUGCACAAAUCUUUUUCACUAGAUUUAAUUUGACUGAUCUCUAUAUGGCAGCCUUAAAAUGAACAAGUUGAUUCAUACCACGGCUUAUUUCGCCAUGCUCUUGAGAUUUUUUUUUUUAUUUAUCACUUAAAAUCAUUGAAAAGCACAAAAAUUACAAAAAAUCUACCCUAUACAAGCUCAAAUAACAUGUGGUCGCACUUCUUGAUUGCGCCAAUCAACUGUGGUAGAAGCACCAUCCCCUAUCCCUGAAAAUAUGCAUCGUACAACUUAUUAUUCCUUUGAGUAUCGUAGCUCGUUAUUUCACCAUCAAUAAUCUUCAGUCCAGUCAUGAUGGCAAAACCCAAGUAUAGAGAAAUUAAUGACCUUGCCUUCGAGGUCGAAGUAGAGUGCAUCGCCAUUGACUUACCUAAGCAGUUGACAUAGUAAUGCAUCAAUGAUAUGUCUAGAAUACUUCACCUUUCUCAACUGAUACAGGGGCCACAUGAAGGACUUGCGCAGUAUAUCUCCAUGCUGGGUUAUCGAGCAACUCCAAUAUAGUAAUAAAACUGUCAAAAAUACUGUUUCAAGUACAUUUACCUGCCAUUUGUCUCAACUUAGCAUCGAGAUGGUACUCCAUCCUAAAAAAAUUCAAAUGUUAGAACAUUUUGAUAGAAAUAAUGGAAUAAAGCAUAAUUUUAGAAAUUUAAACGAACUGAAUUUUAACUAUUGUAAUCAAGAAAUAGAUUCAUUUUACAUCGAUACUAAUAAAAAAAGAAAUGAUUUAAUAAAUUAAAGGGGAAAAAAUAAGAAUUACAGAUAAAAAUAAAAAAAUUAAGUGAAUUAAAUAUACAAAAAAUUUAAAAUUAAAGAAAUAAAUAACAAAAAUAAUAAAAAUUAAAGAUCUAAUAUUAAAAAGUUGAAUGGAAAAAAAAAUUAAAUUAUGACAAAUAGAAAACAAUUAAGAAAUUUUUUUAAAAAAGAAGAAAAUAAUAAUAAAUUACAUUAAAUAAAAAUUAAAGACCAACAUAGAAAAGGAAAAAUAAAUUAAACAAAUUUUUAAAAUAUAAAAAUUAAAGCAUGAGUAUUAAAAAAAUCAAAAUGAAAAAAAAAUUAUAUAAAGAAGAAAAAAAUUAAGAAAUUUAAAAAUUAUUACAAAAAAAUUAAAUGAAAGGAAAUUAUAAAAUUAUAUAAAGGAUAUAAAUAUUAUUUAUUUAAAAUCGAAAAAUUAAACUUUAUCAUAAAGAAAAGAAUUAAAAAAUAUUCAAUUGAAAAAUAUUUAUUUAUAAUAUGAAGCAAACAAUUAAGAAAUUUUAAAACUAUUACCAAAAAUGUAAUAAUAAAACAAAAAAAAUAGACAAAAAGAAAUUAUAAAAAUUAAAUAAAGAAUAUGAAUAUUAUUUAAAAUUAAAUUAUCAUAAAGACAAAAAUACUAAUAAACAAUAAAAAAUCAAGAAAAAAAUAAAAAUUGGCCCAAAAAAAUUGGGUUUGCCCAAUUGAAUAUUAAACAAUCGGGUUCGACGAUUGUUAACAGUCGCUUUUUCCAUUUUUAGCCAAAAAUGAGGGGAUCACUGCCCCCCAAAAAAUCACUUAAAUCUAGUCUACACUCAAGCAUCUAUCUAAAUACUAAACAAUAAACUAAAUAGAUGUUAAAUUUAAUCUUUACUAUAUAUGAAAAAUCAAUUUCAUAAUCACAAAACUACCAUUGUUGAAGAUAACUUUGCUCAAUGACUGGGUUGUGUGGUAGCCGAAGCUGGGUUGACUGUGAGGAUGGUGUGUUCAACUGGAUCCCAAUUUAGUUUUUUCUUUUCCCUCCCUACUGUUUGCACAAGAUGAAGUGAGGGUAUUUUUUUGUUUUUGAUCUUUCACCUCAUAAUUUAACUUUUUACUCUUUUUUUAAUGGUCAAAGGCUUUAUUAGAAAUAUGCCUAGGUCAACCAGACAUUUCCAUGUAUUUCCUCGAUUAUAGUAUCACCACAAUAAAUGUUUGGUACACCACAAAAUUUCUUAUCUAUUUAAAUAAUUUUUGAGUAAAGUGACAUAAAUAUCAUAUAUUAUUAGCUUAUAUAUUCAUUCAUUCUGGUUAGGAGUAUGACUCAAAUAGGAGUCUUUUGAAAAGGCAUAUUCGAUUUGGACUAGGAGAAUAUUAACUUAGGGCUUAAUGAAACAAAAUCCUGUUGAAAUUGGGUCUCCUAAUAGUAAUGUAUUUUCUUGUCUUUUACGACUUUUCUAGGAUUGGCCUAUAAAUACGAGGCUCCUUUGGUCAAUUUCUAGAGAGUAACAUAGAAGCAGUAUGCUAUUCUAUCUUGUAUUCUCCAUACUAUUAAAUUAAUAAACAUCGUUCCUCUGUGUUUACCCCUUGUUUUCUUUUUUUACAAAUUCAAUCUUAUGUUUUCGUGGUACGAUCUAGUAUACUUCAAUAUUGUCAUUAAAUCUCGUUCUUUAAAAUUCGAUUUGGAAUCAAUGUGUGUUAUUGGAGCUUUCGCGCCCAAUAGGUGGCAUCAAAGCGAGGUUGUUGAUUUUCUGUGGAUUGGUUGAGAUUCUUUCAAGAUGGCUGGGUUGAAGUAUGAUGUUCCGUAGAUAGAUCGCAAUACAAGGUUCUCGUUGUGGCAAGUAAAGAUGAGGACUAUUUUGACAUAGUUGGAUUUGGAUGAUGCGUUGCUGGGUAUUGAGAGGAUGCCGGCUGGUUGGACAACGGAGGAGAAACAAUGAAAGGAUCGAAAGGCUAUUUCAUUGAUUCAUCUUCAUCUGUCCAACAAUAUUCUGCAUGAUGUCUUGAAGGAGAAAACAGCGGCUGCUUUGUGGUUGAAAUUGGAACAGUUGUGUAUGAUUAAGAGUCUUAUAAGUAAACUAGCUCUCAAUCAAAAGCUGCAUUCACAUCGCAUGGCAGAAGAAGGGUCGUUGGAAGACCAUGUUGCCAUGUUCAAGGAAAUAGUUGCAGAUCUGGAGACGUUGGAGGUUAAGUACGAUGAAGAGGAUCUUGCCUUGAUCCUGUUGUGUUCGCUGCCUGGAUCUUACGCGUCAUUUCGGGAUAUUAUCAUAUAUAGUCGAGAUACUUUAACUAUAGAAGAUGUCUAUGAUGCUUGGCACUCAAAGGAGAAAAUGAAGUAUUUGGUUGAAACUACAUCAAGGGAUGGGGAAGCUAUUGUAUCUUAAGGUGGUCGACAAAGAUGCAGAUCGAGAGUUAGAUUUAACAAUGUGACCUACUACUACUGCAAAAGGAAGGGACAUAGUCGGAAGGAUUGCGAUAUGUUGCAGGCUAAAGGUGAUUUAACUGUAAAUCGUGGGGUGCAACCUUUGAAUUCAGAUGAAACCAAUGUAGUUGAGAAUUGAUCAGGUAAUGAAGAGGUGAUGUUGAUCGUGGUAUCUGAUGUGGAGUCUAGGCCUAACGAGGAAUGGAUUCUUGAUUCAGCAUGUUCGCACCAUAUGUGUUCCGAUAGGAAUUUAUUUCAAAAACAUGAAAAACAUGAGGUUGUUCAGCAAUGUGGGGUUGUAAUGGGAAACAACCAAUUUUGUCGUAUUGCUUGGAUCAGUGAAGUCAGAUUGAAGCUGCAGGUUGGAACAUUUAGAACAAUUGAUCAAGUUCCACAUGUUCCUGACCUGAAAAGGAAUCUCAUUUCGUUAAGUACCUUGGAUGCAAAAGGGUAUAAAUUCUCUGGAAGAGGUGGAGUCUUGAAGGUCCGAAAGGGAAUCCGAGUUGUACUAGAGGGAUGAAAAAAAAUCCCAAUUGUACAUUUUGUAGGGGAGUACAGAACCAGUUAAGAGGAGACAUUUGGACAAGUUUAGUACCGUGGUGAAAGUUCAGUUUUGGUACAGUACUUCUUGUGUUAGGCCCUGAGUCGAUUCAGAAUAUUGCUAGGGAGAGCGUUGGUGAUUCCGCUUUGCCACCAAUUUCAGCAAAUAUACUGUGUUCAGUUACUGGGGUAGGACUCAUCAAGCAUAGGUAUUGUGGUGUUAGUAAUGUCUGGGAUGCUUCUAGAGACGUUGAAGGCGACAGUUCCAGCAAGGGCCCUUUUAAUCAAGUAUCUGGUUUGGUUCUUGCUACAGGGCAUGGUUCGGCCCUUUGUGAUCAGCAUUAAUUCCUUGGUGGAAUUGGAAACCCUAGGGAUUGGGUUCGAGUGUCGAUUGUGGACGCCAGGCAGAGGAUGAGUGUUUAGUUUAUAUGGAGUGGUUACUGUGUUGAGGAGAUUCGGCCAGUUAAUUUCGAUGCAGAUGAAUUUGAAAUCUAGAAGUUUCGUUCGUAGCACCGAAAUUUAAGUCAAGAUGGAGAUUGUUAGGAGUAUGACUCAAAUAGUAGUCUUUUGAAGAGGCGUAUUUGACUUGGACUAGGAAAAUAUUAACCUAGGGUUUAAGGAAACUAAGUUGAAUAAGGAAACAAAAUCCUAUUGAAAUUGGGUCUCCUAAUUAUAAUAUAUUUUCUUGUCUUUUAGGACUCUUCUAAAGUUGGCCUAUAAAUACGAGGCUCCUCUGGUUAGUUUGUAGAGAGUAACAUAGAAGCAGUAUUGUUAGUCCGUCUUGUAUUCUCCAUACUGUUGAAUUAAUAAACAUUGUUCCUCUACGUUUAACUUUUGUGUUCUUUCUUUAUAAAUUCAAUCUUGUGUUUUCGUGGUGUGAUAUAGUAUACUUAAAUAUUGUCAUUAAAUCUCAUUCUUUAUAAUUCGAUUUGGAAUCAACGUGUGUUAUUGGAGCUUCCGCGUCCAACAAUUCUCAGGUUUGCUUUGAUGCAACAACAGGAACAAGUGAUGUUGAUAAAUGAAUUGAAGGAGAAAAGGAUACAUUUGUUCCAUAGAAAUAAAAGGAGUACAGGCACAUUUUUAUAUACAAGAAAUUACAUAACUAAUUUACAUGAAAAUAUUUAACUGAACAAACUCCGUUAGUGAUAUCUAUUUUUUUGUUCGGAUUUGAUUCACAUAUUUCAAUAAGAAGUAACCUUUUUUUAUUAAAUGAGCAAGUAGUAACUUAGAAUAAAAUUUGGUGGGCAAUUAUUAAUUAACUCUAAAACAUACAUAAUUCUAAAAUACGUAAAGAAACAAUCGAUAAUUCUAAAAUACGUAAGGGAACAAUCGAUAGAGAAUAUGAACUUGCAUGGUGAAAAACCUAAAAGAAAAACCGGAAUUGGUAUUGGCUUUUGUGAAUUCAGAGGGCUUUUCUCUUCUUAAAUUGUGAGAGAGAGGGGAGAGAAUAUAAGAAACGUAAGCUAAAAGUGAGUCAACUUUUUGGAAAGCUUAGAAUGCGUUUGAUUUGCUAUUUUUAGUUUUUAAUUUUGUAAUACAUUUGGUAUAUCUGAAAAUACAAUUUUGAAAAUAAGGACAAAAUUAUAACAUAAAAUUCAAAACACAUUUUCCAUGUUUUGUCUGUUUUCAGUGAAAAUUAAAAGAUAUAAAAUUCUAACAAAUAAAAUUUUAUAUUUUAAAAAAUAUAAAAUAAAUAAUUUCUAAAAUUUAAAGUUAAAAGUUGAAAAAUAAAAUUGAAAAAAAUAAUUUUUUUUAAGCACUUAAUGAUUAUUUACAUAAAAAUUAAAAAAAAUUAAGUGAACACAUAUAAAAAUAUUCUUAGUCUACAUCAUUAAUCUUUAUUUUUAUUUUCUAUAUGUUAAAAUCAAUUUAUUAUUUAUUUUUAUUUUACUAUUAUAGCGAGACAAAACAUUGUAAGAUUCACCAACUUUAAAAUGUAUAUGUUACAUGAUAAUAAAAUGUCAUAAAUAAUUUUUCAAAAUUCAAAUCAAAUGUGUUUCUAGUUUUUUAUUUUGAAAAUUAAUUUUUCAAAAUGACAAACCAAAUGCGGUUUUAGUAAUUUUAAAAUAGACCCUCAAAACAAAUAACAGAAAAAUGAACUCAAAACUAAAAUACAAACCACUCUCAUGGAUGCAAAUUAUUCCUACGUUAUAUAAUUUUUUGUUAUUUCCCUUUUCUUCUUUGUUUGGCUAAGCUAAAAAAUUUUUAAAAAUUAAAUAAAAAUAAACGGAGGGUAAAAAAUAUUUUAAGCAAUAAUAUUAUAAAAGUUAUUUUAUCCUUGAGUAAAAAGAUCGAAGGCCUAUUCUUAGUUUAACCGUUCCAUCAAAAUCAUAAAAUCCACCACUUAUCGGCCUAUAUGCUCGAUCAACUCGAUGCAGCUGGGAUGUUUACCCCCAUACAAUCCAUCAGACUGACAAUUUUUUUCUUUCACUUUAUUUUGCUUACCCACACUAGAUUUAUAAAAUUAAUUAUAGGGUUACAAUAUGAAACAGUGCCAUUCCUCGUCCAUAAAGAGAUAUUUACAGAAUAUGAAUAUAAAUAAUUGUAUUUCUAUUUAGUUGAUAAUAGGGUUAACAUAUAUACAAAUGACAUUGUUAUUAAAGAUGCUAUAAUAUUGUCCAAAACUUCGUCCUUGCUCCUUUAUUUCCUUGUAAAUGCAGUCAUUUUUGCCAUUGGUUUUUAACAUAAAACAUUUUAUUUAAAGAUUACCAUAUGAGCUAAAUAGACGAUAUUUAAAAGCAUGUCCAUUGUAGGAUGACGUCCCACAAAAAAAUGGACAAUGUCUAGGUAAUGAUCUAGAUGCAGAGGCUUUGUUAAACAUUCUCGCUCAGCAAUUUAAUUGAUUAUGUUUCUCAUUUUAUUUUUUUUUAUAUAUAUCACAAUUUCUUUCCCUUUCACUCUAUUUUAUUAUUUGUAUUUUAAUGUUGAUAAAGGACAUUAUAUAUGCUAAAAUAUUGAAAUAUAGAUGAAACUCAUUAGAGAACAAUUAUAAACUUGAUGUCUAUUGUUAGAUAUCAAUUUCAAUUUUCAUAUCUACUAAAAAUCCAUAUAUUCAAAUGUCACAUGGGUCGCAAAUCACGAAAUGCAUUUAAGAUGCCAGAGUCAGUUCCAGUUGUCUCAAAUGGCUGAUGAGAUCCAGUAACUUAUUUUAACUUUAAAAUCAACUCAAUUAAUAGAGAAUAAUUAAAAAGGAGAAAGUAAACUGUAUAGAAGAUACGAUUAAAUAAUGAAAUACCUAAGCAUUAAUAUUUUUGUUCAUUUCUAGAACUGAAAAAUAAAAUAAAAUAUGGGAAAUCAACUCCUAGGCAAUAAUUAAAGACAGGUUAUAUUACCACCACAGUAAAUGGUACACCACAUUUUUCUUAUUUAUUUAAAUAAUAAUGAGUAAAAUAACAUAAAUAUUAUAUAUUAUUAGCUUAUAUAUUUAUUCAUUCCAUCACCAUCAUCCAUACACAUUGCAUUUUCAUUAUAAUAUACUAACGAUUAAUAGAUAUUAUUUUGCAAACAAUCUAAUGUAGUGUAUUUAGAUUACCUGUAAAUCUCAUUAGAAAUCUACAAAUAGGCUAGCUAAAACUUUGUUCAAACUUAAUUCAUUUUACUUAUAGUCAAUUGAUAUGGAAAGUUUCCUCAGCAAAAUUAUUUGAAUAUGAGUUUGCGUUCAACUUGUUCAAUUCAAACUCAUUCAAUAAGUCGUUAAUUUAUGAAACAAUUGAAAUCCGUAGUGAACACUGAAAUCCAAUCAAACUUUAAAUGACAAAUGAAAAAUUGAUGAAAAAGAAGCUGAACCUUUCCAGAUAAAACUCUACUUUCCAAAGAGUUCCAGUUGACUCAAUAACUCUUUAUAAAAUUGAUUAUUUUCUGCCAUAUACAUGUUCCUUAACAGAUUAAAAUUCAAACUAUAUGAACAUAAAUUUAUUUAAGCAACUAAAUUAAUUAUUUUUAUGCCAUAAUUAUAAUUCCACCUCAAGAUGGAUAUGAAGCUAACAAGGGCGCGGGUAUGCACGAAGAAUUCCUCCAUGCUCUUGCAUGCAAUUUAAGAAUUUCUCUGGCUCUCUCCUUUGUCUUUGAUCCUCGAUCAAAAACUUCCAGUACCAGGCACAAUUUUGCCACUGCUCCAAUCUGCAACAUUUCUUGUAAAACUCCAGGAGUUACUGAGAACUUCGAUAUCGAAUGUAGAAUUCUUAUUCCGCUCUCAUUUGCUGUAGAUGAAACCCUAAGAAUCGUCUUCGAAACAAUGGCUAAUCCUGCACUGUGAUUCAACAGUUCCGCUCUUCCCUCAGCGCAUUUGCAUAGCAAAUUCAGCGCCAUAAGCAUCAAUUCGGAAGCCCUUUUGUCAGAAGAAUCGAGUAAAAGGUGAAUCAACAAGGGCACUGCUCCAGCUUCCACUGCUUUAAUCCUGUUUUUUUCCCAUGGACAUACCUUGAUAAGAACUUUCAGUGUGACUUUUGAGACCUUCCGAGAGAUUUGAUCGUUCAAGAUAUCUACUAAUUCGUGGAAGAAUUCGGGUCUGAGACUGAUCGGUUGAUUUGGAUCAGCCACUUCGAACAUGGAUUCCAGAAACAUGACAGCAUAGACACGAGAAUCAUAGCUCCCGGAUUGCAUGACGCUCGUUAAGGACAGGAUUAAUUCGAUAUUAUUCCGCAAGAGGGAUUUGAGCCCGGAUCCCGAUAGCUGGAGAUUAUAGAGAAUACUCAAGGCUUCAUCACUUGCUCUUCUCAACUCAAUCACAUCUUCUGAUACUUCUGCUGAAGAUGCUUCUACGGUUUUCUUCACGAUUAACGAAGCUAAGAACUCAGCCGUGCCUGCUGUUUCCAUGCAUCUUUUAUUCGUUUCGUUGUGAGAAGCAAUGGAUCUGAGUCUCUGUAAGCACUUCGGUUGCUUGUUCGGAGAGUUGGCAUCAUUGAAAAGCUUCAAAAGUUGGGACUUACUGAUUGGAGCUUUCGGGGUUGGGAGCUUAUCGAUGCCUUCUGGAGCAUGGAGGGUGCACCAGGAUUGGAUAAACCGCCGGAGAAUAAUGUUUGGGAUCAAUUCUGAAUCCAUAACCACUUGCUUUGUUACCGGGCAAGUAUUAUUAUUCUGAGAAAACAGCCAUUUUUCGAUGCUCUCCCGAUCAUAUGUUAUACCGGUAGAGAGCGUAACAGGAUCCUUCAUAAUCUCUAGACUGAUGGGGCAGAGAAAGUAGGAUGGAAUUUCAAUUUCAUCCAUAGAAGAAGAAGUAAUUACAAAGAUCAAGAUUUGAUAAACCUAAGAUCUGAUCCAAAAGAGAAGGUGAUUAUACAAUUUUAAGCAAGAAAAUUAAGCUGAAGAGAAGUACAAAAUUUUUGUAAGCUAUAGAUGAAAAUCAAAGAAAGUGAAGUUCUUG